AAAGGAUGUCGCUUCUGAAAAGGAGGCGGAAAGCCGUAGAAGAGAUAGCAAGGACCAGGUACAGGGCACAUCAGGGACUCUCCCUCGCCUUGGAACCACCUUAGUCUUUUUGGGGAUCAAGAUCUUUGUGACUCUGCAGAACUUAACUUUUCUUAGAGGAUCAGCACGGCACAUUAUUCGGAUUCGGAGGUUUAGGUUUCAAACUUUUGGAGAGACAUAUUUUGUUAGGAAAGCCUUCUAUCGGCGGCGGGAGUCAACCAUCCGAGCGAGAGGUCAGACCAAUAAUCCCAUUCACCCUGGUCCAAUUCGAAUGGAUCUUGUUGAAUGAAUUGAUCCAUUGUUGUAUGCCUUACUUCUUAGUGCAUUUUUUCCUACUCGGACCCGCCGUACUUCCUUUGAGUACUGCUGAGAGAUAUAGUGGAAACAUUUUGUUAUGGUGGAGAGUGGAGAGUGAAAACACCAAUGCCUUUCUACCUAUGUUUUUGGUAUAAUAAUUGGCCAUACCAUCCUACUUAUUUCUUUACUCUGUACUGAGCAAGAAAAAACUGUACUGAUUAGCAAGCAGGAAAACUGUACCAAGAAUCUUACUCGAUCGAGUUCCCUUCUUUUCUCCCUGGGAGCCUACUCCAGUGCCCCAGUAGAGGUAGGCCCAGCCCAGGCUUGUGCAGUUAAGGUUGUUAUACAUGAUCUCAAAACAACAAAUAGGAAUGAAACGGCUAUAGUUCUUAUAUGAACUACUGGGAGGUCCCACUAUCUAAUAUAAAGAGUAGGCCACCUAAAAGAAGGUCUGAUUGAGCACUUUCUUCACCCGAUCUUAUGUCUGCAAGAUAAAGAUCAGACAUCACAUUACUUCCGCUAUUUGCAGAGAUGUCUUUGAAGUUGAAGGCAGGUGCCAAGUAAUAUGCUUACCUCGAUCAUUCAUUACAUAUGAUAUAUCGAGAGUUCAAGAUCAUAACGUAAUUCAUUUAGAGAAUGCCGAUGAGAAAGUAGAUCUGGUUCCGAGAUCUGGAAAACUGUGAAUACAGUUAGUGAAGCUAGACCGGGAAGUGGGGUAUCCCUGGAAAAGAAAGAGGUCUGAAGACUCGAUGGCUAUUAAGCCCAGUGAAUAACCUAAUUCAGAGAGAUAACCCGGUCUUUAGACACUCGCCCUACUUCUAAAGAUAGAUAGAAAAGGUUGGAGAGUCCCAGCUACUGAGGUGGCGUAGUGACAGGUGAGAGCAAUAAUAACAAAAGCAGCGGAAGAUCCUGCAGUAGUAUAUUCGGUUGUUUGCGGUGGAAUAGAAAAAAGCGUCCGGGCCAGUAGAUCCAGAGCAAAUAGGCGUUGACUUAGUUGACAUGUUUUCAUGUCUUCUACAUCUAUAACUAACAAGGAAUUAAUUGCAUUCUUGAAUGCUAUUCCAUUUCCACUCUCUUUGAGAGAGGUUACAAGAAAACCAUCAUAAAAAAUGCCACCUUACUGAACUUGAAUUUCACCCGAGAAUCGGGGGUAAAGGUGACUGAACUACUUUUUGUUAAUUUCUUCUAAUCUCCCAGGCGACCGAGUGCUCCAUGAAUAAUGAGCGCUUGCUGCUCCACCCGCAGCGCUUGUUGCCUCUCCUCCAAACCCUUUAUGCGCUCUCUGGUAGCGCGAAUGCGCGCUUCUAGGCCGAUUCUCACUUCUUCAACAAAAAAAUAAAAUAAGUACUUUCGCCGAGCUCUUAUACUCAAGGAAGAAGAAAAUGGUUUGACAUCGCUCCUGCAAGACAAAGACUUAAUAAAGAAGCGACGGAGAAAGAAAGAAGAAAGAUAAAUAAAAAUCCGCACUUUCUGCAGCAUGAGUUUAAAAGGCUAAAGUAAAAGGAAAGGGCCCUAACACCACCCACUUAUUACACUUCAAAUCCUCAAGGGAAAGAUAAAUCAUCAGAGACUGCGCUCACCAAAGAAAGACGCAGACACAUUCACCACUCAAGGGCAAAGAUCACAGCAGUACUUGCUAAAGUCCCCUAUCCUGAACGUGUGCUAUGUAGAAAGUAGUUAGCUGCUCCUCCUCGCCUAGGAGGGCCAAUUGAUUGACCGAUAGCAUGUGAAUUAGAAAGGCAAGCUAAACAAGCAAGUCAGCCCGUCUGUCUUCAACAAAGAAACUUAAAACGCAGGAACUCCGAUCGGUAAAUGAGCUACCCCUCUUAAGAUUAGGUCUCGCAUUCUUUCAUCGGGCUCUGGGUGAACGGAUCCUUUAAUUGACCUCGGGAACAUGAAGGGGGUAGGACGUAUGUCGAAAGGGACGGAACUCGUUCUGUACGGGAAGAAAAAGUAGCUAUGAAAAAACCCAUGCAUUUAUUUGAUGAUAACUCGAAGACGCUUUCAAGUGAGUGAACCCCUAAGGUAGUUCAGUGAUCUUCGUGAAUGAAACUAGUUCAAUGAACCUAUAACGCCUCCUUUUUCUUUUUUAGAAUUGUUCCAGUCUAAGGCCUAAUCCUUCCCAAAGGAUACAUGGAUGAGGAUCAAGACGGGUAUGCUUAAUGCAACUAUUCUAAGUUUCAGGUCAAUAACAAGGCCCCUUUUUUACUUCUUUUCCAUCCCUGCUUGGACCUGACAUUCAAUUAACAUUAGCAAGCCCUGUCGUCCUAAGUGAGUUAGAAUUCGAAUUAGAAUAAAAUAAGAGGGAGGAUUUUCUUGUGUGACACUAUUUCAAGCCAUAAGAUAGGGAAAUCUUUCCACUAAUUACACGGAUUGGAUUUCAUUUAGUACAACGAGUUCUUGCUCAAGGAAAAAUGUCCUAGGACUGCCUAAACACUUUAUUAGAAAAAAUAGAAAGAAACUCCGUUUUGCUUGUAUGACCGAAAAAAAAGUACUCCUAUUAAAUCGAUCUCUUGCAUCCAAAGUCUCUUUUUGUCGGGAGGCACACAUCUUCGUAAAGGCUGUGGCAUCUAUCGAAUUAUCUUUCUCACCGACUCGAGAAAUUCAAUUCAAGGGAAUCCUUAAUCGAGGCUUAGAUUCCAUUAUCUUAUGUUCAGUUAUAGAGGCUCAUCUUUCAUUGAUAGGAAUGCGGGUAUUUUACCCGCACUUGGCAUUCCAGACUUUUCUUGCACAAGCCAUUCUAAGAGCACCAUUCAAGCCUUAGCCUUUUCAAAAGUAGGGGAUUUUACAGAAAGGGACAGCAUUCAAAGAAAGAAUAUUUACUAUUGGAAAUCCAAUGCUUUCCCGAUUCCAUGCUUAUGAUUCAAUUUUUCUUGGAGAAACGAAGUCAUUAGACAAGACCUGUCUGCAGAUUCGAUUCCUCCCCCGGCUUCGGCUUAAUUCAAAUAGUAGCUAGGAUAGGUCUGUCUGUAAAGCCUGACGGUCGAGUAUUGAGGUAGCGGUUUAGUCUUUGGGAGGAAUUCAAUCUCAUGUACGUAUAAUAAAGGAGCGACUGAAAGAGUUAGCAAGGUGGUAAGCUUUUGGUAUAGCACAGCCAAUUACAUUGUGAAAGAAAAGAAUCGAUCGAAGCCAAUCAAGCCAAAUAUAUAUCAUAUACCUCAACCUUUUUUCGCCAUACAGAAGUUUAGUUUUGAGGAGCAGCAAUUCUUCCCGCAUCUAUCAAUUCCUUCAAACAAGCCUUUUUUUGCCUUUUUCCGUAAGCCUAGAAGCAAGUCAAGCUCUUGGUCUGCUGAGAGAAUCUUCCCUCUUCUCUGUUCUAAUAUUCUUUUUGUGCGGUAAGCUCUCCCGGCGCAGGCCUACCACGCUUCGCGCCCGCGGCGUUUUCGCCAGACGGUCUUUGGCCAGUAGUGCCAUCCUCCCCGCUGGCUGUAUGGGCGGGUUGUCCCUCGCUGCUGCGUUCUGUUAGGCUAUAGAUUAUAGUUUAAUAGAUUUACAUGUUCUAGUGGAUCUAAAGUAGGUUUGUGUUCAGCAACAGAAAGAGGUGAGGUUCUGCUUUCUUACCCGAAAAUAUUGAUAAGGGGGAAGUCUCGAAAGGCAUACGAGUGCGCCUUUCGUAGACAGUGCGAAAAACAAGACACUCAGUUCUCCUUCCGCCCCGCUUUUGGCAUUAAAUUAAGAAGGAGCCGUCGGUAUAUGUAGGACUUUCAGCCUUCAAGAAAAAUGGCACUAGCUGGCUCGCCCCGGUCAAGAUCCGAACAACAAGGAGCACCCAACUACUAGACUAGACUAGUAGUUGUUUUUUUUCUAUUAGUUGCGAUGCGAACAGGCGUUUACUAAUGAGAUUAGUUGAGUAGGCUUGCGUUAGUUGUCUGCUACAAGAUAGCUAGUUUUGGGGGUUCAUUUCCAGCAUAGCCCUAUCGUCUUAAUCAGGUGAACUCCUUUUUGCUUUAGUUCUUGUACCAGCUCAAGAAGCAAGGAAUUUGAUUUCCCGGAGCAAAGACUGAUUUUUCUUUCUUGCUUGAGCGAGCUUAUGCUUUUGCAUCGGAUAAUAAGGUGUAAGUGAGUUUCUUUCCUUCUGGCACCUACAACGUCAUGAUCACAUUGGUUUACCCUUUUUUCUUUGGUAGUUCAACGGACGGUCGCCCCUCCAACAAGAAAAGGUAUAAAUAAAGGUUACAAAAUGAACAACUUAUCAAUCCUCGUAGUCGAACCUUGUUUUUGUGGAAUAUGUACCCAGCCAUGUAUCAUGGACUCGUCGCUCAGCUUUAGGCCUUAUUAGCUUCAUUUCUGAAAUGAGCAUGAAGUCCGAAUUGAAUAGAUACUGAGAAAGCGUCUUUCGUGAUGAAAGUUGCAAGUGAGGAUUCAUGAUUGAGAAAGAAAUCAGUAGAACUGGAACUUGAUAACGAACCAGGAAAGAGAACCUGGCCAAAGGAUUUUUUUUACAAUGUAUAUGUCUUAGUUGACAAAGCUGUUUACGUAAUAGGCUGCUGGCUAGAAACAUAGGAAUUUGGAAUGUUGAGAUGACUGGUACGUUUAUCGAUCUGUGGAUCUCCUUCAAUCAAAAAAUGAGCUACAUGAUUGGCCGUCACUGUUGUAUAGGAGGUUGCCCCUAUCCGGUGAAAGAAUAUAUUACCACAAGGAUGAACUCAUGUUCAUUUGAUGCUUUUGGAUUGAUUGGCCCGAUGACGUCGAGGCCCAAUCACGAGAUAAUAAAGGAAAAGAAAGGAACGUUAGAUUGGUUCGAAUCCAAUUCGUUGUGAGAUAACAGGAAUCUGAAACUAAGAAUGCCAAUAAUCUACUCCUUGACUCCGAUUCAUUCAAAACUUAUUGUGAGAAGACUCAGAAAAGACUUCUAAAAUAGUUCACAUUCAAACAUAGAACAUACGUAAAUUAGUCUUUUCUUCUUUCGAUGGGCCCUUACUCCGUCCCACACAGUGUAUUACUCCACUGAAUCAUCUUUCUUUGCUUGGAAUUCCUGUGUUCAGCCCGCAGCUGAAGCAGAGAACCGCACAUCUUCCUUGGGAAUCACUUCGGCUUAAACACGGCUACGCUUCGCUCUUUUUAACUAUCGUUAGUCUGUAGUCUGUGAAAAAAGAUUGCAAUUUCUUGAUCUUUUAUUUAAGAAUUCUUGUACAUAUCCGAGCCGCAGGAACAUGUACAUACGGAAUACGAGAAUUUCCACCUUGUUGAAGAUCUAGUGGUGCUACCCGAAGACUUAAAUAAAUAGCCAUCGCUCUUAAGAACAACCGAGAUCCAAUGAGAAUUUUCACGUAGCUUCUGGUCUUUGACAAAGCAAGACGCAUUUUUUAGACAUAGUGAUCCAUACUCUCUGUCGGGGGACCUAGGCUUGUGGCACUCCCUAUCUCUUAAAGGCUUUCAUAAUCAAUAUCUUUUUCUUCUCAGGCACAGUUGCUUUCCUUGAUUUAGGCACAGUGUCUUCGACAAAUCGUUGUCUCAGUAUCUGUCUCAUCUCUGGUCCUGUGGGUUAGUAACCUUAGUCCAGUGUAUCAGAAAGCACAUCUGUCUUUCUGAGACAUAAGGAGUUAGACUCUGCCGUGAUAUAUGAGCAAGGUCAAAGCAUAAAAACCAAAACACGUGUGGUUUCUGAACCCAUCGAGAUGACCCAAGAAUUUCGCUAUUUUGAUUUUGCCCAUGAUAAUAAAGAAAGCUUUCUUGUAAUUCUGCUUCUUGCUCUAAAAAUGGAGAAAGACUUGUCGAAAAUCUCCGGUUGGGUUGGUCCAACCAAAAAAGGCAUGGGAGUCUUUGGGCAUUGCUUGGACUGAGUUAAGUAAAGAACUGGUUACCUACUAUACGAUACGAUAUUUUUUUUGAUGAAAAGAACGUAGGCUCAAGCCAAAGUUAACCAUUGCAUUGAGACCAGUUCGCUAAGUAUAAGUAGAGUUGACCCUUCGCCGCGUAGACCUAUUAUUCUCUCCAGAGAUCGGAGUAGUCGUGCUUGAAAGCUCAAGUUGGGAUCGAUCGUUGAAGAGAGAUUCAAUGGAAGCUGAGAAGCGGCUGGAACUAGCGGUUUCCAAAAACCCGCGGACUUCAACUCGAGCCUUUUUAAAAUUAAAAGAUCUCUGCUUCGUAAGUAAGGGAGAAUUCUUGUACAUGUCGAUAGAAGGGAAAGAUCAAACCUUGGGAAAGAUAAGAAUUCUUGUAUGUCUAACAAGGGGCUAUCAAGCUUCUCACUAAAGGUGCUCAUCAAUACCUAUUCUUCUUGGUUGUUCCCGACUAGCUGAACCCGAAGAGUGAGUUAGAAGGACCGCUAUCAACUUAUUCAGAAUUCCUUUUGGGAGAUUCCUCAUUUAAGGAGCUUACAACUGUUUUCUGUUCCUUAAGCGGAAGAAGGGAUUUCUUUCUGGCUGUCCUAACAAGGCAAAUAGCCUAAGGAUGGGACUGCUUCCUGCUUGAGAAUCAGCUGUUCGGGAUUACGUUGAUUGACCUAAGGAUGGGAUAGGAAUGAAUGAUGGCAGCCAAUUCCCUUAUAAAAAAAAGGAAAAGGCCUUUACAGACCAGUAACAGCUUAAACGCCACUAUUCCUUUAUUAACUUCAUAGUCUUUUUUUGCACGAGCACGAAAGUUACUGGUUUUCAAGGUAAAAAUGGUUAAGUAAAAAGAUCAAGCUGGAAAAGAUAAAGAUAAAGGUUUGUUCAAGUCUGACUCUUGUUGCUAUUAUUUUUUUAUUGUGUAUCCAUUGCCACUUGGAAAAUUCACACUUAUAAGAAGGAUUUGACCCAACCCGAGAACGGACCUUGGUGGUGGCAUUUCCAUGAUAGCUUUAAUCUUAGCUGGGUCAACUUCUAUACCCCUUUGACUAACCAUAAACCCAAGCAGCUUAUCGGUUGUCACUCCGAAUACGCAUUUCUGUGGAUUCAGCCUUAUCUUAUAUUCCCGGAUUCUCUCAACUUGACAGGAGAUAGACACAGGCGGUAGAGAGAGAAAGGCAGCCCUCGUUAUAGCUAUAUAACAUUGGGGGGAGGGGUUGUUAUAUUCCAAUCCAGGUGGAGUAAAUCCACUCUAUGUUCACUAAUCGAAAUUCCUCCAACCCAACUUUAGGAGACAUUUCAUUCACUACUUAAAAAUCGGAAAAGGACCAAACUGUUUAGCAGCUAUCCUUUGAUGAAAGCGUAGAGGCUCUGUCGGAGAUGGAACAACUUCUUCUCUUCACUCUUUUUGAUUAGAGCAUCUCAGAUCGUAUUCCAAUCACCUUAGUGAGUCUCCUAGGUGCGAAGCCAUUCUUUAGGUGCCUAGCUUUUUAACAGCAGCAAAUCGGCAUAUCGCUAUUUCUAUUCUUAUCUUAGGCAUCCUGACAUUCCAGGUCUUUCCCAUCCCGAAAUUCCUUCUUCUUGAUAGCAUAGGGGCGCAGCGGUAAAUACCGAGGAAAGAAGAUAAGAAAAUAGUUUUUAUCCCAGGCCACGGUAGUAAGUUUUCUGUGGAGGAAGGAAGCCAGGGUGUGUAUCCGCCUUGAUGCAGGAUAUUUUUUAGGUGGGUUGGUCAAUCCAUUUUUUCCAUUGGAGAGGUACUUAGCAGCGAAAUAUGAGCACCAUGGCUUUUUCUUUUCCUUUGGAAAUCUCCAUAGCCACUUCAUAAGAAGGGCUGGCUUGGUUAAAUUGAGCAAAUUCUUUCCUAGAGUGCCGGCUAAUGAUACAUGCCAUCCAUCCAUACUGCUACAGGGCUUAGAUGAGAGAUUGGCUUCAUGCCUAUUCUAUUUCCAAGAGGGCCAUCAAAGAGCCUCUUCUGUCCUGCUUUCUGAUUCAAUUCCAUAAAUCUUAUCUGAACUGCGAACUGACUAAGCCAUGCCAUAAGGGUCAUUCUCCAAACUGGACGGGGCCAAGCCUUUAGGUUGUUUAAGUAGGUUGGGUGACAGAUCGGCCAUAGGAGUACUCCGGGAUAUAAACCAGGGCAACUACUGUCGAGCAUACGACGAUGCCGCCGGUUUUCAUUUCAUGGAAGUCCCCGGCAAAGGAGAGGGCUGUUGUGACGUCGAGUUUGCUCUAUUCUCUUAGCUCGGGCUCCUAUCAAGCUUCGCUUCACGCAUGAUAGCGGCAUUAUUGGGGAAGGAGGUCGCUCACUAGUGCGAACUCAGAAGCAGCAGCAGCAUUCUCUUUCGCAUCCCGCCACUCCUGACUUUGAAAAGGAUAUCUCUGACUAGACAGGCAAGCAGACUCACUUCAUUCCUGAAUCAUCAUCGGCUCUAUCUUAUAAAGAAAAUUUCUUGAUUUGUCGAGAAAAAGAAUGAAAAAAGAAUGAGAAGGGGCUUAGACAAGACUUAAAAAAAUAGGUGGCUAGGAGGGGCGGCAGGGCUGCCUUUUCAAUUAAUCUCCGGCCGCUCAGCGCCGCUAUUGAUGCGAGUUGUAAGAGGGUUACCCCUUCCUAGACACAAAUCAAAUGGUAAGCAAGACUUAAACCAAACAUUCCUCAAACGUUCAUACCGUUUUGAGAGAGUGCUGGAGAGUCGCGAGAUUAAUAUUAAAGACUAUAAAGACUCUAUCUAAUUUGUUUUGUCCCGCAUCUUCAACUGCAGCCUUGAAUUGGAAUGGAAAGAAAAGACAAACCCAACUAAAAAGAAAGAAAAGUGCCCCCUUUCUUAGAUAGAAUCUUCCUUAGAAACAGAUACGGGAUUAGACAGAGGAGCCCUUGAUCCUCUUUGAUUAACCAAACACCCUACCACUCACGAAUACUUGCUAGACAACUUACUCUACAAAGACGGCAGACUAUGUCGGGCAAAGAAAGGUGUCUCGCGGUCCUUCAUGACGUGAUUACACUUUAGAGUAAAUCAAGAUGGAUGCCGGACAUUCAAAGAAGGCCCGGCCCCUUCUUCUCGGCAGCAAACGUAGGGCUCUGCUCUGUCUGAGGCUCGUACUGGGCCGGAGCAACGCGUCUGGUCUUGUCGGUCAUUUAAGAUAGGAUGAAAAAUGAAUCCAUCCGACUUCCAUGAAAAGUCUCAUUCAUGUUGAUUGAGGAGUUUCUUACUGACCGCUAAACCUUCUCUACUUUUGAAGAUAGACUGGAAAGCAAACUCAGAGAAUAGCUAAGUGAAAGUCAGAGACUCCCUUUUUUAGGAACUUAGACUACCUAUGCGCUGGUAAACUCCACCUAGACUGAGAUUCAUCAGUUCGAUCAUUUAGUUUGUGUCCUAAGUCCUAUAUCCUACAAGAAUACAAAAUGUACGGAACUAAUGACCAUCCUUGUGCAUUAAAACUUAUGACCAUUUUAUCGUUAAAUGUACGGAACUAAUGGAUUGUCAUUUAGUUUGAAUUAAUCGCCUUGACCAGGAAAUACACUACUAUUUGUCAACAGAAAGAUCAUAAGAAUAGAUUGCUUCCAGAAUGCGCCGAUAGGGAAGGCUCCGAUGCGUCUCAAUUUCUUUCAUCUUUCCCCCCACCCACCGGUCGAAUAAGCAGUGAUUCCUGCUCGGCACUUGCUAUAGAAGAAGCCACAGCUAGCUUUAGUCUAGGCUAGCCCUCGGCCCGAUCAUCCAAUUCGCUCCAACAGACAGGCAUGGUUCUGUAGUCAAAGCAACUUCGUCACUUUCGUGUACCCAUCGGACGAUAGCCCUUUCGAGGGUUCCUUUACCCAUCCGACCCCUUAAACUCGCGAUUUAGAAAAUAAAAUAGACUUAUCGAAAGUAGGAUAAGAAUCAUACACUGGGAAUAGACCGCCGUGAACUCCGGCGAAACACCCCGUACGACCUGCGGAAGGUGAAGGUUGUUGGCUUGCCCGUGGGCCGUGGUAUCUGACGGGACAUUGGCCUCCCUCCCACUAUGGCUUGCUGUACGUUCCUUUAGCUAUAGGCGUGUCCAAUCCUAUAAUAGUCCAUUCCACAUAGUACAAUGAAGCUCGGUGGGGUUUCAUACGAGGGUCCUGCGUACUGUGCCAUCGCCCAACCAGUACAGUAUGGCCAUCCUCCCCUAGACUCUCCCUGUUUACUCGCACAUAGGAAGCGAUACCCGCUCCUUCUGUUUAGGAUUCCUGACCUUACUAAACGCUCCCUUUCACAAAUCAUUCCUUUUAUUUAUGGUUUGGUAAACCUAGAAAGAUUGUUCCAAGAGAGGGUGAAUCUCUUGAGUCUUGUUUAGCGAAGCUUGGACUUCAUUGUAAGACUUUUUUAUAAUAAAUAUCAUUAUAAUAAAAAUCAGUUAAAUAUCCUCUCUCUACCGAUUUACUCAAAUCACAAACAACUAUACAGUGUGUAAAGUGCCAAACCUUCUACUCAGAAAGUGAGGGACAAGUCACAUCGUUACAGUUUACAAUUCACUUUCCCUGGAAAAAGGCAUUACCCCCGCCCAGAAUGAAGCAGCGAACUUGCUUAUCUCAUGUCAACCCGGGCAGAAAAACAACUUGCUUGACACUAAUACGCAAGAGCCGAGGCAGAUGGUAAUUGAAAAAGUGCUUAUAUUGGUGGAUUGUAUAGCAUUACAGACUUGGUUACGCUGUUAGGGUUAGAGAGCAAUGCCACACUUAGGGAUACCUUACAUUUUAAUGGGAUAGUAGUUCCAGCCGGUAAAAAACCAGGAUAAAUUUAAACUUUGCAAGGAACAUUUCAAUAGUUACAAUCAUCCCUCUUUUCAUUGGUCUAUAGUCAAAGAACUAGAGCCGCAAAAGACUCAACAGAUUCAUAAUUAAGCUUGCUCCAGAUUAGCCAACUAGCCCAAGGAUUUUAUUUCAGCUGGCCUAACAAGAAAAGGAUUCCUGGCUACAGAAUUCUUCAGAGAGCUCAAGACAUAAGCAUAAGCAAUUCCAAUAGCUGCUCCUAGAAGCUUUGCUCCUUUCAGACACAAACAUUGUACCCUAAUUAGACACAAGCAAAUACUCAUUCUCUCCAUUCUCGAGGAAGGGAAACUCAUGUCAUCUUUCACAGGUCUGGGGAAUGUACGGUUACAUCAACAGCGGGUGAAUUACUCUCUAAAUCUAUGGCUUAAUAUUUAUUAUAAACAAUAUAUUAUGAAUAAUAUAUUAUAAAAAAAUGAACACAUUUCAAAAUGUGAUAAUAAAUGAGAGGAUUGUUAAAAGAUAUGAGCACAAACAAGGGUUGUUUAAAAAUGAACAGAUAAGCUAACGCACUACUGAUUUUCUGCCUACUAGCAAUGCAACUACUCCUGAGAAAGACUCAAACUGAACUAGUUGAAGCUAAGGGCCUGCCUUCCCAGCUACUGAGGUAAGGGGCAAAGGAUCCACUUGAUUCAUCACUUUAUUUAUAACCAUUAGAUAGAGAGAGAAUCCCACCCGGCCUAGCUAUAGCUAUCGUAAUGCGUCUCAGCGUCCAUCUAGAGUGAAUUGUUCUAACUUGAUUACAGUAAAUAUGAAAUGAUUGGUGGACCAAAAGAUAGCAAUCCGUCUCUCUUCCGUGCCCUAUUUCUUUUCAAAAAUAUGUAGUGGGGAUAAGACAAGACGUCGAUUAAGUCGGCAACUCUUCAUAGUCGAAGUUCCCAUCCUCUUUAGGUUUACGAUAGAUUCAGGUCAAGCCCAGUCAAUGGGGGUAUACCCUCUCCUAGAACAAUCUUUCUAGGUUUACCAAACCAUAAAUAAAAGGAAUGAUUUGUGAAAGGGAGCGUUUAGUAAGGUCAGGAAUCCUAAACAGAAGGAGCGGGUACUGCUUCCUAUGUGCAAGUAAACAGGAAGAGUCUAGGGGAGGAUGGCCAUACUGUACUGGUUGGGCGAUGGCACAGUACGCAGGACCCUCGUAUGAAACCCCACCGAGCUUCCUUGCACUAUGUGGAACGGACUAUUAUAGCAUUGGACACGCCUAUAGCUAAAGGAACGUACAGCGAGCCAUAGCGGGAGGGAGGCCAAUGUCCCGUCAGAUACCACGGCCCACGGGCAAGCCAGCGACCUUCACCUUCCGCAGGUCGUACGGGGUGUUUCGCCGGAGUUCACGGCGGUCUAUUCCCAGCGUAUGAUUCUUAUCCUACUUCCGAUAAGUCUUAUGAAACGAAUUCGGCUGGAGAUAGGCAUUCGGAUUCGUUACUUGGGGCUGAUGAGGAUGAGUUACUUCGGGCUCCUGAGGGUGAGGAAUCCGUUGUUUCGGGAUAAACUUGAUAUGUUAGUUUGGCCUCGGCUUCUUAGGAUGAUGCCUGUGCAAUGUAUGAUCCAUCAGAUUCUUUUUAUUCUAUUCUCGGUGCGUUUUUGGGUUUCAGAGGCCACGGCCCCCCAGCGCUUCAUUUCCUUAUCGAUCUCGAACCAAGUUUCUUUGUUCUCGAUCUUGGCUUUGAACUCAUGGAGAUAAGGGAUUCGCGCCUCUUCGGCCAAGUCCUCCACGUCGGAAAGAAACUUGACCGCGUCGACGAUUUUCUCCAGUUUUUUAUUAUCGUCCAUUCCCGCCGCCCGAGCUAUUUCUUUAGUUUUUUGAAAUAUCUCAUUGUGUAAGCGAUCACAUUUAUGUAUAAUGAGGAUAUUUAUAUAUUAUAUAUUAUUAUCUGAUUCAUAAGAUAAGACAAAAAUCCUUCAACAGGAUAAGAAAUUUGAGAGGAUCGACGAACCUGAGAGAGGGAUCCAGAAUCUGAGGAAGCGUCUGGAAAGAAAGCAACUGGGCUAGACUGCUGAUCUUCUGGAGUAAUCUUCCCUUGGGAAACAUAGUGUAAUCACCGUCGAGAAUAAACAUGCUAUGCCGGGUGACUGGAAUCCUCUGAGGUCAGCUGAACAGACUGACAAUCGGGACUUUCAGUUCUGCCUUAGCUAGGGGGGAGGAGUUGUAGGUAUUGCGCUUAUUCGAUUGCACGGUGGAGACAGCGUUUCUUCUCAUCAUACAACUACCCAGUGGUUUUGGAAUAAGAUAUAGCCUUGUUUUUAUCCUCAUAUGCCUCAGUCAUACAUUGACCACAACCGUCCCAAUGUGAACUCACUUUUACCUAGUACUUUUUUUUAUUAUAAAGAAGAAUUACCGUAUGUCUUGUCAAUUCAAUAGUGUCUGGCUUCUCGGCUGUACUUCUUUGACAGACUAGUCUACGCCUAGCCCACAAGCCUUUCCCACCCUAGGAAAGCGAGCCCAUAAUGAGAGUCAGAUCCCAAUGUACCCCCUCUCUAAAUAGAAAAAUGAACAAGAAGAACGAUCAAGUGGGUAGACCCAUAGGAAGAAACUGACAUCAAUCUUGGGUACAUCAAGAAUGAAAGAAGAAAUAGGGCUUUGACUUUCUCGGGCAUAAGCAAAAAAUAUAUCCACUUGAUCGGUUAUUAUUUUAUAAUAACUCAUAGCUUAUCUCUUUUAACCAUCACAAAUUUUGUCCCUUUCUGUCUAACAUAAUAUACAAUUUUUGUUAUAAACUUUACUUAUUACUAAAUCAUCCAAUUCAUCCAAAAGGAAUCAAUCUAUAUUUUAUCUAAAUAUUAAUAUAAAUAAUAAUACUUUAUAAAAAUAGGAAUAUCAAUCAAAACUCUAAAUCAAUAGCUGCGGGCAGAGAUGACUAAGUGACAUAUGGAAUAUGGCGACGACAACAGCAUGUCGUAGAAGGAGAUAACAGGUGGAGCCAGCGACCCAUUAAGACUAACGUAUCUACAACUACAUCCCCGAGUGGCAGUCAAACGGGGACGUGAAUGCAAGAUGCCAUCGGAAUGAUCGGCCAGACAGAGGCUAGGGCUACUUCCUUCCCACCGCGUCCUUCCUUGUGUGUCGGAGAUAUAAAGCGAGUGCACUGAAAAAAAAUGGGAACUGGGUCGAUCUAUUCUAUGGCGAAGCAUCCGAAGCAUAACUGCACACUCACACGAUCUUUGUCUAGAGAUAGGAGCAUUCGGUGGAACCGGUGAACUACACUUGCUUCUGGAUAGAUGUGUGUGACAGAGGGCUCGUGGUACCUGCUGCCCACCCUUCCUCCUCCGCUUUGAGAACCGUGUGAACGGGGAGUGGGCAGAAGGAAAGGAGGUCUACUUUCUGUUUUGUCGAGCCCUGCUUUGGUCUCUGGUUUGAUGGUUGCACGUGCUAAAAAUCCGGUACAUUCCGUUUUGUUUCCCAUCCUAGUCUUUCGCGACACUUCAAGUUUACUUCUUUUGUUAGGUCUCGACUUCUCCGCUAUGAUCUUCCCAGUAGUUCAUAUAAGAGCUAUAGCCAUUUCAUUCCUGCUUACUAUUUAUUAGGGCUUCCAGCACUAAUUCUUACGUUUAAUCUGGGUCUUAUAGCCACACCACUGUGACCUUCACAGCCUGAUUAAUGUGCUUUAAAAGCGCACCCUUGGUCGAGCUUUCUUUCUGAUUCGUUAUUCGUUAGAGGAUGGUCUAAAGUCCUCCUAGGGGAAAGACAUAAUAAAAGCUUUCUCCCCUUUUGGGAUGAGCUUUUUUAUUCCUAUUUUAGAGACAUCUGCCUCCUGAUUUGCUUGCUUAUAGGCUUCACAGGCUGGUGAGCUGUCGUCCCUGAUAUCAGCUAUUUACGCAAGCUAAAGCUUGUCCUGCUGGGCUGAUAUCGCCACUAUGGUGAAACAAAUCUUUGUCCAUAGGUGGGCAUGAAGGAGCUUACUGAGUCAAGUGGUUUAAGUCCUGAAGACUACGAAAGGUUCAAAGGACCUGCCCUUCUACUUGGUCAAACCACAGGACAAGGAUAGACAAUAUUAAAAAAGGUCUGGGACGAAUCUUGCAAAACGAAGCUUAAAGGCAAAUGGAUCCGGAAGCUAAAAAUAUUAGUUACCUUUUCUCGUGCAAUAAAUUUCUUCGAUAAAAACCUCUUUAAAGCGGGUAGGAGCUCUUUUCCUUUAGUCCACUCUUUAAAAAGAAAAUAUAACUCUUAAAUUAAAAGUAACUAAAUCUAGAGGAUCAAUCUGACAUUUACAAUUCAACUUAUUGAAAACAUUGAAUUGCCUAUAUUGAUGGUCAGAGAUCAAGGGGAAGCUCUUUCUAAAAGUAACCUAGGAGGGAUUUACCAACCGCAUACAAAGAAAGCGUUCUGAAAUCUAUGGAAUGAGGUAAAGGAAGGUCAAUUCUGCCUACCUAAAGGGCAGAAGAACCAGACUCUUGGACUGAGGAAAGAGUAGGAGUUGAGAGAGAAGUCAUGAAAUGAAGAAAAGCCCAAGGUUUUUAUUCCUUCCACAAUAAAAAUGAAAAUACCUUCCCAAUUUCUCAUAACGCCGAGAUCUAAGCCCUUGUCUGGCAGCUAAAAAUUGUUCAAUAAGUGGAAUGCAUUAGCUGUCCGCUCUCAGGUUAAGGAGUAAGGGUCGAAGAAGGGCAAUCACUCAUUCUUAAAACCAGCAUUCUUAAGACCAAAGAGUAGGAGGGGGGAAAGCUCUCCGCCGUUCCUGGUUCUCCUGUAGCUGGAUCCUCCGGAACCACAAGAAUCCUUAGUUAGAAUGGGAUUCCAACUUAGCACCUUUUGAGAUUUUGAGAAGAGUUGCUCUUUGGAGAGCACAGUACGAUGAAAGUUUUUUUUUUCAGUAUGUAGCUUCGCGAGCUAGGAGCGCAUCAUCGGGGCAGGGCGAAAACAAACAUAGGAUCAUCAUCAUGGCCCUUUUCUUAUUUCUUUUGUUUGUGUCUGGUCCGUUCUGUAUUUUUUUAAGGCUUUUUCGGGGGCUGCUGCUCUGGGGCAUCCAAUUCCUCUUCUUUCUUUUGCUGCUGAUCUCACAUCGAGAGUAGCUCCUUCUUGUUCAGGGUUAUCAGAUGAGAGAUCUUCCUCUGAAAACCUCCGACUCUGAGAAAAUCGGUCAAACGAGAGGCUACCCUCGACUCACCUCUCUAUCUAUAAAAACCCCUUCCCAGAAUACCUAUUUAUACUUAUAUACAUAUGUGUAUCAUAUGUAUAUCAUAUGUUAUAAACAUUAUAUCUAUUAAAGAUAUACUUAUAACUACAAAUAUAUGCAUGCAAGAGGCACGCCUUUCUCCGAGCUUCCCUUCAGCUUCGGUUGGUGAUCGACGACCUUCCUUCUUUAUUGAUCUUGAUCGGCGCUCAAUGCCCUUUAUUCGGUGCUAGCUUUCAAGUGGUCUAAGCCCUCUCUUAAUCCAUUCCGUCUGUCGGUGAUCGAGGGUAAGGCCCAUUCCUGUUAUCGUGUAAGUAAGGAGAAUGCUUUCCAUUAGCAGUCCAAGCUGUCAUUUCAAUCGUCUAAUUUUCAUACAAGCCAUCGAGAAGGCCAGCCCGCGCUAUCAGUCCAGUCCCUAUGCCCGUCUUCCUUAAAGUAAGAAAUUAUUAUUUUGAUCUAUGAUUCUAAGUGGUCUUUGGAUUGUAUUCUGGUCAGAGAAGGUGCAUUGCCCUCCCCCUUUGGCCUGAUUUCCUUCUCUCUCUCUAAGUCCAUGGGCUAAGGAGCAUUCAAAAAAUAUUUGUAUUAGUGUGGUUCGCUUUCCCUUGUGACUAUGGUAGGAUGGUUAUAGGUAUCACUAUAUUUGUAAAUAGUGAAAAAAUAUGAAAAAAAAGGAUUUAAGUCAAUUGGUGCAAGCUAGGUAAGCGCUCACGUACUACUAAUAGAGGUAAGACAGGCGUUUACGGGCUAGCUGGGGAAGGUUUAAUGUUUUCUAAUUGGUAACCUUGUGCCAAAGCAUCUAAGGUGGGUAGGGGCCUUGGGGAUAAGUCGUCUACGUCUUUUUUUAUUCCCGUGCUUUAAGUUCUAAGUUCUUGGAUUGGAUCCCCCCGUAAGUACGCAACGAUUUUUGUUUUCUUUUUGAAGGAAUCCAGGGAUCGAGCCAAAACAAAGCAAGACGCGAUUUCCCUUCUCUAUUUUUUAUGGAUCGCGCCUUACGAGAGCGCCGCCGGUCGGGAAUGGCAGAAGGUGCGAGAUCAGAUAGAACCUCGUCGACCCUAAAACUAGAUCCAAAAUUAAAGCUUCCUUACCGAACCAAUUCCUUUAGGCGAUUUACAAGAAGCAAGGGCUUAUAAAAAGAAGCGAGUCCGGAAUAGAGAGGCCUUCGCGUCUUUCAAAUCAAAAGGAGGGGCCCGCGCAAGACUGAUAAACUACUUCUAGCUUCUCAAUUGAGGAAGUGAGUGGUCGAGAGUGCAGAUGUACAAUAAAAAUGGUCGUCCUAGUACAGGGGCCGCUAAUACCGGUGGCUGAGUCAGGUAUUCUUUUAUGCUUUCGAAUGCAUCUUGGCAUGCUUGGUCUCAGACAAACUCCACCUCUUUUUUCAUUAGACGAGAAAAGGGUUGGCACUUGCCUUAUAUAUUGGCGAUAAACUUGAUUAUAUAGGCCAGCCACCCUUGGAUGGAAGCCUCUCAAUUCCUUGAUAUUAGUAGGAGACGGCAUCCCCAGUAUGUCUUUUGUUUUGGCGGAAUACACCUUAAUCCCCUUCUUUCGUACUAUGAAUCCAAGGAAUUUCCCUAACAAUACUCUGAAGAAGCACUUUAUAGGGUUCAUCUUCAGGUUGUGUUGCCUAAGCCUAAGGAAGACUUUUCAUAAAUCUGCCAAGUGGGCGACUCUUUUACGGCUUUUUACGGCUAGGUCAUCCACGUAGCAUUCUACGGUUUUAUGCAAUAUCUCUCUAAAGAUUUGCGUCAUAGACUGUACUUCGUAUCCUGUAUUUUUUAACCCGAAGGGCAUGCCUAUAUAAGGUAAGAGUCAAUGUCGAAAGGGAUGUGGAAUGGGCGAAUCUGUAGAGGUCGUCCGGGUGCUUUUCCUCCCUACCUAAUAAAGCCGACGUUGAGAAGCUUCUGCACCUCUUUCUCUAUCUUUUCCAUGAGUAGAGGGUGGAACCUUCUCUGUGCUUGUUUUAUCGACUUUGCAUCUUACCGAAUUUUGAGCUCAUAGACGGCGACAGAUUUUUUCCCUGGCAUCUCUGCAUAGCGGAAUGCAAACACAUCACGGAACUAUUGGAGAGGUUGGGUAUACUACAUCACUUCUUCAGGAGCAAGGUGGGGCAUUGAUGAAUAUCGGGCGUGGUUCAUUGUCCGUGCCAAAAUGGAUCUGCUUGAAUUCAUCUUCUGUGGGAGGAGCUUUACAUAAUAGGGGGCUCUUUUCUUUCUGACGCUGCACGUGUUAAGGCUUGGAGUUAUUCUUCAAAUUCCUCUACCAUUAGGAAGUCAACUAAUUGACCAUUAAUACUGGAAAUUAGCCUUCGUAAAGUCUUUCUAUCACUCGUAAGGCCGACAUUGAAGACAUAGCCCUAGUUCUCAGGUAGAAUAUAGGGUAUAGGGAUGAUAAGGCAUCUGUCUCCUUGCAGGAAAAAAUAUGAAAUAGUUAUAAUAACCCAUUAUGAAAUAUAUACAAAUAUUCUUUUCAUUGAUAGGAACACACGACCUAAGUAACCUUAAAAUGGGGAUGCCAAUCUUAUACAUAAAAUACCGCUAUCUAAAGUAACAGGGAGCUGCGCUAUAUCAUGGAAGAAGGAGCAAAAAAGCCAGGCAUUAAAAUGAAAGAAUUGAUAAUCUCCCCGAAUUCUUACUUCUCCAUCAAGAAUCCUGUCUUCUUCUCUAUCUCGACGGAAGUAUUUGUUAUAAGCAUAUAAAUAGAGGCACAUAUGUGUAUGACAUAUGAUAUACAUAUCUUUCACGAGCAGCGUCGCUGCUUGAUCGGCGGGGAGGAGCAUCUCAAAGUAUGGGGCAAAGGAUCAAGCGCUUUGACUUUGUCUCCCGGGAUCCACCACAGGUUAGGUUUGAGAGCCGUGUGAUGGGUGACUAUCCAGCAUGGUUCGGAGAGCACUUUUAGUCUUUGUUGGUGAAUGGAAGCCCCCUAUCAAGCAAGAAAGAAGUGGCUCUUCCCACAGCGGAGUCACCAUUGACUCUAUUUAUUAUUAUGGUAAAUCAGUGUAUCAAGAUCCCAAUCUGAGAUCUUAUUUCGGUUCGAUACGUCCACCUACGAGACUCACCUUUGGCUUUCUUCUCGGUAGGUUUAUUAUUAUACAUCGUUUAAAGGGCCUUAUAUUAUAAAGAAAGAAUAAAGAAAGUCAAGAUUGUUCUUGCGGAGAAAAGCCUACUUACUUGCUCUUGCUGCUUUUAAUUUAAGAGCAAGUCGGUCUAGCUUCUUAAUCUUUCACCUUUCAAAGAAGUCGAAAUAGAAAGGGGUAGGAAAGAUCCCGUGUACCUUGUUCAAGUUGUGGAUCUCCUUCAUUAGCUUUGAGUUCAUUGUUGUUCUUCUGGUUCUCCUUUAAAAUAAAAGGGGUCGUGGGGGAAAUGCCCCAGUCCCCCUACAUGCAUUAAGUGACGACGGCUCAAACGAAGCAAACCAUUUCUCAUAAGAGAAUAGAAAAUCACAAGAAAGAUUUGAUCAAAAGUGACUAGAAAAGAGGCAGUCGAGAAGGAAUGAGUGGAAACUAUGUUGAUUGAGUGCAAUUUCUAAAUUAGGAAAGAUUAGACAGAAUCCUACCAAUCUAAAUCAAAGUUUCCAACAGUGAAAGGCUGCCCCUGUCGGCGGGUUGCUUAGGUCCAUGUAGUCCAAAUCUCCGCUUAGGAAAGAAGUCCAAGUUGACUUUUUGUGAAAGGGAAAAUGGCUUUCUGUUAGAGAGUGAUCGAGAGAAAUUUUCAGUUGGGAGCCAGUCUUUUGCAGCUAGGAGACAUUGUUGUUAUGUUUUCCAGUUAUGAGCCAUUAUUGUGUGGUCCCUUUCGAGCGGUUCCUUCUUUUUUUUUCGAUGAUUUAAAGGCGACAGCUCUUUUCACCAAGGAACUGGGGUUUAGAGCUAUAACACAUACGCAAGAAGGUAGAAUGCCUUAAUGGGCAAGUACGCUAAGGAAGGGGAGUCGCUUGCUUGUUUGGUGUGUUUGGAACCGGGUUGUUUAAAGCUACCCUUUCUUGAAGAAAGAGAACCUGGGCCCAGGUCUUGGUGUAUUUUGACAUGAUUCUCAAUACGCUAUCUAAACUAGGAAAGUCAGUAAGGAAAGGUGGGACAAAGAAAGCUCUACUUCGGGUAGCUGGGUGCAUCAACCUCUUUCUUUCACAGGAGAGGGGACAAUACGCUCUUAAGGAGCUUGGGCUAUUCAACCGAUAGGAAUAGGGGCUGUGUAAAGUGCCAAACCUUCUACUCAGAAAGUGAGGGACAAGUCACAUCGUUACAGUUUACAAUUCACUUUCCCUGGAAAAAGGCAUUACCCCCGCCCAGAAUGAACAGAAUGAAGCAGUGAACUUGCUUAUCUCAUGUCAACCUGGGCAGAAAAACAACUUGCUUGACACUAAUACGCAAGAGCCGAGGCAGAUGGUAAUUGAAAAAGUGCUUAUAUUGGUGGAUUGUAUAGCAUUAUAGACUUGGUUACGCUGUUAAGGUUAGAGAGCAAUGCCACACUUAGGGAUACCUUACAUUUUAAUGGGAUAGUAGUUCCAGCCGGUAAAAAACCAAGAUAAAUUUAAACUUUUCAAGGAACAUUUCAAUAGUUACAAUCAUCCGGGAUGAUAUCAGUUCUUCUGCAGCAAAAGGAACAAUUUCAGUACCUAUAUACACAUAUUUCUCCAGAAUACCUAUUUAUACUUAUAAAUGGACGCCCUUCCCCAGAAAGAAAAUAUUGUUUUUGAGGAUCUUUUUUUGACUCAAUCCCACGGCUUUAGGAAAGGAAGAGGGCCGAGAAGAAAGGAUAACUUAGAGCUUCAAGUAGCUUCCCAAUGCUCGAUGCACAAGAGAGGCGUUAGAACUAUUAAGCAGGAAACCUCCGGAUAUAGGGUUGACAUUCUAACGUGAAAACUCUUUUAACCAAUUCUCUUUUUGACCUCUUGACGGAAGAUCUAUCAACACCUUCCUUGAUCCAUUGACUGAUCAAAGAAUUUAUCAAGGAAUACUCAAGGGGAUUUGGAGGACCAGCAAGGCGAGGGGAGUGAAAAGCCUCCAAGCUAGUAAAGGAUUGGUUCUUCAACCGACGCAAAGACCUAGCGCUUUCCCCUUGAACUGGACUUGAUUCCCGCACUUAGCUUAAGAGCUAAACUGCCGAAGUUGUUCAAUGAGUUUUCGGUAUUGUACCGCUACCAAUCGAUCUGCGAUGACAAUGUCGUCACCCAAAAUCGCAUACUUGGUAAAACUUAACUCCCGGGUACACUAACUCCGCCGCAUACCACACCACAAAGUGAUGUGAUAGAAUUUAACUUAUCACCUCGAAUGAAUGGCAUUGAUGUUAUUCAUAGGCUUGUUUGAAGGGAAAAUCCCACAGACGAAAGAGAAAAACCAGUCUUAGCAAUAACCGUUGUUAGAGUUAUAUCAUCAACCCUAGCUAUUUCAUCAGCUACACACGAAUCUCACUCUAUUAAUAUAAUUUAAUUCUCAUACAAACCUUCUUGCAAAGAGAAGAGCUAGCAUCCGUCCAGCGCGCAGGAAAGAGAAGACUGGAAAGCCGGAGUCAGCCAACCGUGGUGAAAAGGCGGCAAGCACAGAUGAGAGGGACAUCACUGAAGAGCUUAACUGACGAGCUAUUUUUUUGAUUAGCGCUUCUGCUCACUAGCUAGAUCAGACUGUCUGUACCUUUGCUACUAAGGAUAGACUGAAUUCAAAUAAGCCUUCACUUUCAAUCCGUUGAAAUGUAUGGGUUAGGAUGACCAGCUUUCGUACAAGAGUUUACCUAGAAAAAGCCUGACUGUGAAACCGACUCGACAAAGAGAGAGGAAAGUCAACCAAGUGUUCAAUCUAUUAAAUAGACUAUUUUUCUUUCAUUAAAGUUUACAGAUAAGUAAGAUAUUGAAAGGGGCAGAACGCUUUCUAAGCUAGACUUUCUCCUUACGUCCUCCGGGGCCUUAUGUUUCAAAAAAGAGUCCCCACUUGUACUGUAUGUACUGAUUGCCUGCCUCAAUGCCUGCUGACUUACUGGUCACUUUAUUAAGUUCCUAGGAACGAACAAGGAAUAUUUUUAGCCGUUCGCUUGUCGUUGGGGCUAUAGUACUUGCAUUUCUGCUGUUAGCAUGGUUUGAUGGCAUAGAAUCAAUAGUAGACACGCACAAAACAGAAGAGAAAGAAGGAAUUGCUAGCUCUUUGAACGACUCCGGUGCUAUACUAUAGAAUCUCUUUCCAGAAGAGGGCUAUUCUAAAGGCCUUGCCUUAUGAAAGAAAGAAAGGAUAAGAGUAGGGGAGCGAAGAGAGUAGGCUACACAUGACAGACUCUGCUCCUAUUUCAAAUGCUGUUCUUGCCGAAAAAGGCUUAUCUGGUCUCAACCUCUUCCGGUCUUAAGUUGCUUACUCCUUUCCAUACGACCCGAGGUACGAAGUGUCUCUUCUGCAUUUGACCUGAGACUGGGAGUUGAACUCUAUUGAUACGGCUAGGAAGAGGAAGGAAAAAAGCAUGUACAGUUUCCUCUUAUUGGUAUAUUUCUUUACUUAUUAUAAGAAAAGUCAUUAUUUUUCUUUAUUUUUCGCUUUGUUCUGUACAUCAUAUACGUCCAUCAUUAGGCGGUACAGUAAAAGAAAAGCAUAAAAGCGUUUUUUGUACCAAAAAAAUAUCUCUAACCAAUCUUUCGGAAGAGGGUCCUCCUCACAACCCUGAAGAGCGUUUCCCAGCGAUUUAAAAAGCCACCGAAUCAACUUCAACCUAUAUAUGAAUUUAUGAAGACCGAAUAUAUAACAUAGAAUGGUCCAUAGAGAUGACAUUUUCACUUUAUUUUAGAACAACCCCCUUCCCGAACCAUUCAUCCCUUUUGGCAUUGACUCUUACCUUAUAUAGGCAUGCCCUUCGGGUUAAAAAAAUGCAGGAUACGAAGUACAGUCUAUGACGCAAAUCUUCAGAGAGAUAUUGCAUAAAACCGUAGAAUGCUACGUGGAUGACCUAGCCGUAAAAAGCCGUAAAAGAGUCGACCACUUGGCAGAUUUACGAAAAGUCUUCCUUAGGCUUAGGCAACACAACCUGAAGAUGAACCCUAUAAAGUGCUUCUUCGGAGUAUUGUCAGGGAAAUUCCUCAGAUUCAUAGUACGAAAGAAAGGGAUUAAGGUGUAUCCCGCGAGAUGAUUCUGGUUAAACCGGGCAUUCCUCAGAGCAAGGAAAGAUCUUUCAAAAAUAGAAUUAAGAGAAAGCGCUAGAACCGAUGUAAGUAAGAUCCGCUACAACUAGAAGUCGAUCUGGUACCUUCCUCCGGGUACUCAACAAAAAAGAGAAUAGGUUGUAGAUCUUAUAUACUUCUUCUCCAUCUUCCCUUCAAAUGGCAUUCUCUUCCUCGGUAAAGUAAAAAGUAAGGAAGUCUUAGAUGCCACAGAACUCUUAGAAGACUGUGUCAUCUUUUAAGCUCUGUCCCUAUGGUUUGCUCAUCUCUCGGUACAGCGAGAUAGUCUAUGAAGGAGAAAAAAUUUCUAGUAAAGAAGAAAAUGAAUUAAGGAAUAAGAUAAGAGAUGAAUGGAUGAAAAGAGGAAGAGGAGCUGCUUUCUCUCUCUUUCUCCUAAGUCCCAGUACAGUAAAGCUUACCCUCGUUCCUUUUCUCUGUACUUUACUUGUAUGCAAUUGAAACUAUCCUUACUUUAUUAACGGGAACUAACUUGACUCGCUAGGGGUAGGGCUGAGGAUCCAGCAUCCCAACCUGAAUUAGAGGGGCGCUCCAAUUCGAAGCGUGGACUACUAAGGAAGGCCCAUUUCCAUAUCGGGUAGAGUCUUCAAUAGUGUUUUGGAAUUCAUCGAUAUGGGAGUACAAAUUUUUCAGGUACUCUAACAGAUAGAGCUUUUUCUGCGGCAUAUUGAGAGCCAUAUAGUCUCCCGCUGGCCCAAUGAAUGAAUGAAAGUCAUUCUUUUAGUAAGCGUAUAUAAGCAGCUGUUUAGUGUAUAAGCAAUUCUUUAGUGGCCGUACCGAAAGGUACGUACGGCGGAGGUUGGUUGAAGAUGAUGUUACGCGGCGUUCAGAACCAGCCUUGAAGUGAAUAAAUUAGAAAGAACGAAGAAGUAAGGAAAUGAGACGACUUUUUCUUGAACUAUAUCAUAAACAGAUCUUCCCCUCCACACCAAUCACGAGUUUUUCUCCAUUCCUCUCGUAUAUCGUCGUAACGCCCUUAAUACUAGGUUUUGAAAAAGACUUUUCAUGUCAUUUCCAUUUAGGUCCGAUUCGGAUCCCUCCGUUGUUUUCAGCAGCCAACUCAGCUCUUUUUUAUGCCAAAAUUUCUUCAGAUGUAGGGGGCCGAUAGGCUGCAUUUAAUUGGGUUUUGGGGGCUGCAAUCUCGGUGCCUCUUUGUUUUGUGCUAUAAUCUCAUUUUGACGGGCCAAGGCUGCCCUAAUUUCCGCCAUUCACUAUCUGUACGACGGAAAGGACUGGAGAUGAAUCGAUCGUAGUCAUUGCGGGUAAUAAAACUAGCCCACGUUGUGAAAGGAAUGAGCUAGCUGAAGCUUCUGACGAUUCUGACUGAGACCUCGGUGAGGAGGCUGAGUCUUUUUUUUACCUCGAAAGGGAGGUCCUCCUUAUGAUGCUACGGUCGGCUGUCCGAAGUGCAUGCAAGGGGUAAAGUCGGAUAGGAUAGGAUUGUGCAUGCCGGGCCCUUCGGGUGUCAUAUUUUGGCCGAGUUUACCGUACCUCUGGCCCUUAUGUUACGCGACCGUAAUAUUUUGUUACGUUCCACCGCUGUUACGCCAGAGAUAAAAGGUUCCACACGAGCUCUCGUUCUGCGGCGUGGUGGCAGGAAUAAAACUGUAUUUUAUAAUAUACAAAAUAAUAGGAUGAUUCCUAAACCUAUGACUCGAUCUGGAGAUCGAAGUAGGGUUACCCUAUGACCUUUAAUUGCAUUUCGUAAGACUAUGGCUUUAGCGGUCAAGUAUUUCUUAGUGACAUAAUCAAGGAUCCAUUCUCCUCCUUUUUGGUAGCCAUGUCGGUAUCCAUACGUAUGAGCACGAGCUUGUUCAAACCUUUCCUUAAUAGAUAUGAGAAUGAUUGGUUUAGGUUGGGUUAGUAAAAAAAAUAGAGACGAUGAUUUCAUAUCGAUGAGUUUAGAGCUACUUUAUCUUUGGAACGCUUUCCUUCCCUUCCCUCUAGUGGGGAAGCAAGCUGGAAUCUAUAAAGAUACUAUACUAAGGUAUAGUGCUGCUACCAGAGAAGGCUGUUUCAUGCUAGGCGUCCAGACCUACUACGCCCGAGCCGCAUCCCCGGCACACUUGCUAUAUCCACUAAGGCUUCAUCCCACUUCAUCCUACCAACUAUACCUGAUAUAAAGUCGUUCUAUAAAAAUUCAAGACAACAAGAAAGCAGGAAAACGAUAGCGAUCGGUUUGAGAGCGUCACUGGGGGGAGGAAAGAAGUAUUUCAAGGACCCGGCUUCGUGGACGAGAAAGAAUAGAAGAAAGGGCAUGCCCGACCCGAGCUACUAGGCCAGGGCCUGAGGAGAGGAACUAUUUCAAGCAAGGAUGCUAUGACCUCAGACUUGAGACCGAUUCAAAGAUAUAGGAAUGAAUGAAUCCAAUGUCAUCUAUACCGUGUUUUUGGGCUGUCAUAAUGUGACAGUUUCGACUUCUGUCGUCUCUAUCUAUUCCGUUUAGGGAAUGGGCUUAUUCAUUCCGAUUUCUGUAAAAUAUACUAUAAACUUUUAUAAAAUAAAGAUGACUUUAUUGAUAUUUCCUACUCGUUAAAAUAAGCGAUACUUAUUCCAUAAUGCCUACUUCCCACUAGGGGUGACAGGAUUUUCCUCUUCAAAUUCCGGAGGCUUUCGAUCUGACAUCAAGACUUGAAAGCUCUCUCUGUGCACUUCUCUUUGCUUGGCGCUAGCUUGAUUCUUUUUCUUUUCUUGAGUUUCGAAAACGGAAAGAACGUAGGAUAGGAUAAGUGAGGAUACGGAAUGAAUGCUCUUCGAUGCUAGCUAGGUAUUUAUGGACGGACACUUACCUUUUUUGACAAAGGGUGGGAAGACUUCGCCUUAGUAUAAUCGGGUAAAUCACUAUUAGGAGAAUAAGGGAGCUUACGAAAAGGGCUAUCAAACGACUGUGACUUUCAAUUGGCCUUGUCUCGCUUAACUCGUCGAGUAAUGAUUAUCCUAGAAGGAAGAUCUGUUCGAAAGGUCUCGCCAAAAAUCCAUUUAAUGAUUAGCUCCUAGCCCCUGUUUCUUGAAUUGGUGGGAAGACUUCGCCUUAGUAUAAUCGGGUAAAUCACUAUUAGGAGAAUAAGGGAGCUUACGAAAAGGGCUAUCUGUAACAGCCCGAUUCUAGGCCUAGUCGGAAUAGUGGUUUCGGGACCACAAAUCCGACGAGGGAAAAUAUGGUUAUUAUUAUAUUUUUAUGAUCUACAAUUUCACGGAAAAUUUUCGUAAAAAUUUCGUUCGAAAAUUUCGACGUUUGGGCACUCAAUUUAGUCAAAAGGACUAAAUUGUAAAUAGUGCAAAAGUUGAGUUCUACAUCUUAGAGGUGUCUAAUUGUUAUGAAAUUUUAAAUUGGAGGUCUUUAUGUGGUAAUUAGACCAUUAGUUAGUUGAUGGACAAAAAUAGACAUAAGAAAUGGGUGAAAUAGAUUUUUUUUAAAUGGGGGCAUUUUAGUCAUUUGGUUAUUAAAUAGAAUUAAAUGGGAAAAAGAUGGCAAAAUAUGCUCAUCUUCUUCAUGGUGAACGAAAUCAGCAAGGGGGAAGCCAUAUUUAGGGUUUUUAAGCUUUCAAGCUCCAUAAUCAAGAAAGACGUGAAGAGUAUAUCAAACGGGGAAAAGAAAAGAUAGGGGAGUAAAGUGCAAAAUUACGAUAUUUUGCACCGAGGUAAGUAAACACGUGACUUAAUGUAUUAUUUUGAUAUUAUUUGAUAUAUGUUGAGAUUUAUUUGAAAUUAAAAUAAAUGUUUGGCCAUAUCCUAAAAAUGUUGUUAAAUCGGGAAAGGUGGUAAAGGGUUGCAAUAUAUGGUUUAUGGGUUGAACACUCGGAAUAAGCCGGAGUAUGUUGUAUAUAAAGGGGUUGCUGUGUGCUGAUUCCCCGAUUCAUUGGUGGUGCUAUGUGCGUGAUCCACCAUAUCUUUGAAAUGUGAAAAGGGGGUUGCUAUGUGCUGAUUCCCCCGAGGGGUUGCUAAGUGCUGAUUCCCCGGUUCAUUGGUGGUGCUAAGUGCGAUAUCCACCAUAUCUUUGAAAUGUGAAAGGGGGUUGCUAUGUGCUGAUUCCCCCGAGGGGUUGCUAAGUGCUGAUUCCCCGAUUCAGCGGUGGUGCUAAGUGCGAGAUCCACCAAUAACGGUUAACAUUCCAAGUGUUCAACGAAAAAGUGUGGAAGAUGAAUAUUUCCAUAUGGUGGAAAAUUUUAUGGGGUAAAUAUUGAGUUGAAUACUAAAUCGACCCAUGUAUGAGAUGGGAGAAAAUAUCAAAAACGCAAAAGGAACGAUUUAAUUAUAAACUGUGUUGAACAACAGCAGUUGGGUAACUUUGAAAAAUCACCAUAAAUGGUGGAAAAUGAAUGGGAAGCUGAAUAAUAUAUGAAAUUGAAGCUGAAUGUGUCUAUUUUCAUAUGAAAGAAAUAGAAUAAGCAAAAGAGUUGUAUUUUUGGAGAUAUCUGAAUUUUACUGAAACAGGGCUAGAUUGAUUUCGAGAUCCCCUGUUCUAACUUUGGAAAAUUACCAAAAAUUUAAAACAAAUAAUUAUGGCAUGAAAUUUAUAUCCCUGGAAUCCUUAUUGAGUAUAUUUUUAUUAGAAACAAGAAAACCCAUUUUUCAAAUUUUGUACAGAGAGUUAAGUAAAUUUUAGUGAGGAAGGGUCAGAACCGUUGGGCAGUGAAACAGGGGAAGGUUUAAUGAAUAAACUGUACUAAUUGGCUGGGUUAAAAAUUCUGAAAUUUUUAUGGUAAAAUGGUAUAUGAGUCUAGUUUCAGGGAAAAUUUACAGAACUCAAUUUGGAGCUCUGUAGCUCCAGAUAAAAAUAAAUUAGCGACUAUGACGCAGAAAAACAGCUUGCUGGAAAUUGCCUAAACAAUAAAGUUAUUCAUGAAUAAGUUUAUAUUUUGGUGUAGUUAUGGGAGUAAUUACUUAUUUAUCAUGUGUUUACUUACUAAGCUAUAUGCUUACUCGAUUUUAUUUUUCUCUUGGUUAUAGUGACUUCCAACAACUCGGAAAUUGGAACGAAGUCAGACAAUCAUCUACACUAUCCUUCACAUUUGGGGUAUUUUACUACUAGUGUUCCGAAAUUUUAUGGCAUGUAUAGACACUUUAUGUAAUGUGGGAUCAUCAUGUAAAUAUAUGUUAUGGUUCCCUUUUAAAUGUAGUGUUUAUUAAUAGUUAAACUAUAUGUGUGUUUAUACAAAUGAAAUUGGUUGGUAUAUUGGAAUGUGUUCUAAAUUUGCAGGAGGUUUAAGCAAAAAUAAGUAGGAAUGCUGUCGAAAAUUUUUAAAAAUUUAGUAAUACCUCAUACUCUGUUCCGGUAAGGAAUACGGGUAAGGGGUGUUACAUUUUAGUGGUAUCAGAGUUACGGUUUAGUCGGUUCUCGGACCAAAAAAAUACGUGUGGAAGUCAGUCUAUACAUGCCAUAAAAUUAUUGUGAUAGUGUGAUGAUUUCUGACAAUUUAAAAUUUUGUUUUAUAUAGUAAAUGGAUCCUGAUCGAAGUGUGGCAGAUGAUGUUGAAAGUAACGUGCCGGCUCUCGCGCAAGGGACCGCGCAGGAAGAGAGUAGACAUGAGACACAUGGACAGGAUGAGGCUCGGGAAGCCUUCCUCCGAAUGAUGAGUGAUUGGUAUAUAGAAUAUGUCCGUGUAAAUCCGAAUGUUCCUCCUCCUCCACCCCCUCCUAUUCCUCAACCGGUCCCCGUAGCUCCACGGAGUGCCGAAUUGGUGAGAUCAAGUAAGCCACCUGUUGAUAGAAUUCGAAAGCAUGGGGCUGAAGAUUUUAGGGCCAAUGUUGAUGAUGAUCCGGAAAAAGCCGAGUUUUGGCUUGAAAAUACUAUUCGGGUAUUUGAUGAAUUAUCUUGCACCCCUGAAGAAUGUUUGAAAUGUGCUGUGUCUUUAUUGAAGGAUUCAGCAUAUCGUUGGUGGAAAACAUUGAUAUCGGUGGUUCCAAAAGAAAGAGUUACUUGGGACUUCUUUCAGGAAGAAUUUAGAAAGAAAUAUGUAAGCCAACGAUUUAUUGAUCAAAAACGCAAAGAGUUUCUCGGGUUGAAACAGGGCCGAAUGUCCAUAGCAGAAUAUGAACGGGAGUUUGUUCGGCUUAGUAAAUAUGCCCAGGAAUGUGUGCCUACGGAGGCUAUUAUGUGUAAAAGAUUUGAAGAGGGGCUAAAUGAAGACAUCAGAUUGCAUGUUGGGAUUUUAGAGUUAAAAGAAUUUGUGGUGUUAGUUGAUCGGGCCUGUAAAGCUGAAGAACUGAGUAGAGAAAAGAGAAGGGCAGAGAUGGAAUCUCGAGAUGUAAGGAAGAGGACAAUGGGCAGAACAUUUCAAUCUCAUUCGAAGAAGUUUAAAGGGAUGGAUCCACGACCAACUGGUUCAGUUGGGUAUUCACGCAGAGACCGAGGGAGGUCGUAUUCUGGAGCUACAACUCGAGCUACCUCUGUAGCAAGUGUGGGCAAUGUAGGAAACACCCGGCCUAAAUUUCAACAGUGUGGCAGGUGACAUAUUGGUGAGUGUUGGGGAUUUAAACGAGCUUGUUUCAGGUGUGGUUCCCAAGAGCAUUAUGUAAGAGAUUGCCCUGAGAGAAGAGAGGAAGAAAAUUUGCCAAGAGCUAGAUCGGGUGAUAUUGUUAGUAGAGGGAGACCGCCGAGAAAUGUGGGAAGCAAAGUCAGUGGUAAAAGUGUGAUGAAAGAUGCAGCUGGAGGAUCAGAAAUUAGAGCGCCUGCCAGGACUUAUGCCAUACGUGCUCGAGAGGAUGCCUCAUCUCCCGAUGUGAUUACUGGUACAUUUUCUCUUCAUGAUAUAGAUGUUAUUGCUUUGAUUGAUCCCGGCUCUACUCAUUCAUAUGUAUGCAUGAAAUUGGUAUCUAGUAAGAAAUUGCCUGUUAAAAACACUGAAUAUGUAGUUAAAGUAUCAAAUCCAUUAGGCAAGUAUGUCUUAGUUGAUAAGAUUUGCAAGAAUUGCCCCCUGAUGAUUCAAGGUCACUGUUUCCUGGCUAAUUUGAUGUUGUUACCAUUUGAUGAGUUCGAUGUUAUUUUGGGGAUGGAUUGGUUGAUAUUGCAUGAUGCCAAGGUGAAUUGUAGACAGAAAAUUCUUGAAUUAAAGUGUGAAAAUGGUGAAAUUCUCCGGAUUGAAACAGAGGAGCCGAAUAAGUUGCCUAUGGUGAUUUCGCACAUGUCUGCUCAGAAAUACUUGAGAAAGGGAUGCGAAGUUUAUCUUGCUUAUGUGUUGAAUACUGAUAUAACUGGGUCGAAGCUUGAAUCAGUGCCGGUAGUCCGUGAAUUUCCAGAUGUAUUUCCAAAGGAAUUGCCUGGGUUACCUCCGACUAGAGAAGUUGAGUUUUCUAUUGAUCUGUUACCUGGUACUGCACCGAUUUCUAUUGCACCGUAUCGAAUGGCUCCGACUGAGUUGAAGGAAUUAAAAGCUCAGUUACAAGAGUUGACAGAUAAAGGAUUUGUGAGACCGAGUUUUUCUCCUUGGGGUGCUCCUGUGUUAUUUGUGAAAAAGAAGGACGGCUCUAUGAGACUUUGUAUUGACUAUCGUCAGCUCAAUAAGGUGACCAUAAAGAACAAGUAUCCUUUGCCGAGAAUUGAUGAUUUGUUUGAUCAAUUAAAAGGGGCAACAGUGUUCUCCAAGAUCGAUCUGAGGUCUGGUUGCUAUCAGUUGAGAGUUAAAGAGUCUGAUGUGCCGAAAACCGCCUUUAGAACGAGUUAUAGACACUAUGAAUUUCUGGUAAUGCCUUUUGGGUUGACUAAUGCUCCAGCUAUUUUUAUGGACUUGAUGAACCGAAUUUUUCGGCUGUACUUAGACAAGUUCGUGGUGGUGUUCAUAGAUGAUAUUUUAAUCUAUUCUCAGGAUGAAUCGGAACAUGCAGAACAUUUGAGAACUGUGUUGCAGAUUCUGAGAGAAAAUAAAUUGUAUGCUAAAUUCAGCAAAAGUGAGUUUUGGCUUCGUGAGGUUGGAUUCUUGGGACAUAUAGUUUCAAGUGAAGGUAUUCGGGUUGAUCCAAGCAAAAUUUCAGCAAUUGCUGAUUGGGAGCCACCAAAGAAUGUGACUGAAGUUAGAAGCUUCCUGGGCUUAGCUGGGUAUUACAGACGGUUUGUCAAGGGAUUCUCGAUGAUUGCUUCUCCUAUGACUAAGUUACUGCAGAAGAAUGUCAAGUUUGAAUGGACCGAUAAAUGUCAACAGAGUUUUGAAAAGUUGAAGGCAUUAUUGACUGAGGCGCCAGUGUUGGUGCAACCUGAGUCCGGGAAGGAAUUUGUAAUUUACAGUGAUGCAUCGUUGAAUGGCCUUGGGUGUGUGUUAAUGCAAGAGGGCAAAGUAAUAGCUUAUGCUUCGAGACAGUUGAAACCGCAUGAGAAGAAUUAUCCGACGCAUGAUUUAGAAUUGGCUGCCAUUGUUUUUGCUUUAAAAAUUUGGCGUCAUUAUUUGUAUGGUGAAAAGUGCCGAGUCUUCACUGAUCAUAAGAGUUUGAAAUAUUUGAUGAGUCAAAAAGACUUGAAUUUGCGGCAACGAAGAUGGCUCGAGCUAAUCAAAGACUAUGAGCUAGUGAUUGAUUAUCACCCCGGGAAAGCUAAUGUGGUUGCUGAUGCCUUGAGCAGAAAAUCUUUAUUUGCUUUGAGAGCUAUGGGUACGAUGUUAACUUUAUCUGAUGAUGGCUCAAUGUUGAUUGAAUUGAGAGCUAGACCGUUAUUUCUUCAGCAAAUUCGGGAAUCUCAAAAGAAUGACAGUAAAUUGCAAGCCAAGAGAGCUCAGUGUGAAGCAGGUGUUGACUCAGAUUUUCAAAUUGGUUCAGAUGAUUGCCUGAUGUUCAGGGACAGAAUAUGUGUACCGAGAAAUGAUGAGCUAAUUCGGACUAUUUUAGGUGAGGCACACAGUGGUGAUUUAUCAGUCCAUCCGGGUAGUGUGAAAAUGUACAAUGAUUUGAGGAAGUUGUAUUGGUGGCCGGGCAUGAAAAAGGAUAUCUCGGAAUUUGUAACAAAAUGUUUAAUCUGUCAACAAGUAAAGGCUGAGCAUCAAGUGCCAUCGGGUUUACUUCAACCGAUAAUGAUUCCAGAAUGGAAGUGGGACAGUAUCACGAUGGAUUUCGUGACAGGAUUGCCUUUAACUCCAAAGAAGAAAGAUGCUAUUUGGGUAAUUGUGGAUAGAUUGACAAAGUCAGCCCAUUUUAUUCCGAUACGCAUUGAUUAUUCACUUGACAGGUUGGCUGAAUUAUAUGUUGCUGAAAUAGUGAGACUACAUGGGGUGCCUAAAUCUAUUAUAUCGGAUAGAGAUCUGAGAUUUACUUCGAGGUUUUGGAUAAAGUUACAGGAAGCUUUGGGUACGAAAUUGAAUUUCAGUACUGCAUUUCAUCCGCAAACUGACGGGCAAUCAGAAAGGGUGAUUCAAGUUCUUGAAGACAUGCUCCGGUGUUGUAUUUUAGAAAUGAAGGACAGUUGGGAGAAAUAUCUACCACUGGUUGAAUUUGCUUAUAAUAAUAGUUAUCAGUCAAGUAUACAAAUGGCACCGUAUGAAGCAUUAUAUGGGCGUAAAUGUAGAACCCCUUUAUAUUGGAUUGAACUCGGUGAGAAUCGGAUUCAUGGAGUCGACCUGGUGAAAGAAACUGAAGAAAAGGUGAAAAUAAUCCGUGAUUGCCUAAAAGCUGCCUCAGAUCGGAAAAAGUCGUAUGCGAUUUAAAGAGAAAAGAAAUUGAGUUUCAAGUGGGUGAUAAAGUGUUCUUGAAAGUAUCCCCAUGGAAGAAGAUUCUGAGAUUUGGUCGUAAAGGCAAACUAAGUCCACGUUUUAUUGGACUAUAUGAAGUUACCGAGAGAGUUGGCCCUGUAGCAUAUUGGUUAGCUUUACCGCCAGAGUUGGAAAAGAUACAUAAUGUAUUUCAUGUGUCGAUGUUGCGACGUUAUCGUUCGGAUCCUUCACAUAUAGUUUCUCCUACAGAGAUUGAGGUUCGACCAGAUAUGACUUAUGAAGAAGAACCCAUAAAGAUUUUGGCUCGGGAGGUCAAACAGUUAAGAAAUAAAAGUGUAGCCUUAGUGAAAGUGUUGUGGCAAAAACAUGGAAUGGAAGAGGCUACGUGGGAACCGGAGGAAAUUAUGAGGAAACAGUACCCAAACCUCUUUUCCGGUAAGAUUUUCGGGGACGAAAAUCCCUAAGGGGGAGAGUUGUAACAGCCCGAUUCUGGGCCUAGUCGGAAUAGUGGUUUCGGGACCACAAAUCCGACGAGGGAAAAUAUGGUUAUUAUUAUAUUUUUAUGAUCUACAAUUUCACGGAAAAUUUUCGUAAAAAUUUCGUUCGAAAAUUUCGACGUUUGGGCACUCAAUUUAGUCAAAAGGACUAAAUUGUAAAUAGUGCAAAAGUUGAGUUCUACAUCUUAGAGGUGUCUAAUUGUUAUGAAAUUUUAAAUUGGAGGUCUUUAUGUGGUAAUUAGACCAUUAGUUAGUUGAUGGACAAAAAUAGACAUAAGAAAUGGGUGAAAUAGAUUUUUUUUAAAUGGGGGCAUUUUAGUCAUUUGGUUAUUAAAUAGAAUUAAAUGGGAAAAAGAUGGCAAAAUAUGCUCAUCUUCUUCAUGGUGAACGAAAUCAGCAAGGGGGAAGCCAUAUUUAGGGUUUUUAAGCUUUCAAGCUCCAUAAUCAAGAAAGACGUGAAGAGUAUAUCAAACGGGGAAAAGAAAAGAUAGGGGAGUAAAGUGCAAAAUUACGAUAUUUUGCACCGAGGUAAGUAAACACGUGACUUAAUGUAUUAUUUUGAUAUUAUUUGAUAUAUGUUGAGAUUUAUUUGAAAUUAAAAUAAAUGUUUGGCCAUAUCCUAAAAAUGUUGUUAAAUCGGGAAAGGUGGUAAAGGGUUGCAAUAUAUGGUUUAUGGGUUGAACACUCGGAAUAAGCCGGAGUAUGUUGUAUAUAAAGGGGUUGCUGUGUGCUGAUUCCCCGAUUCAUUGGUGGUGCUAUGUGCGUGAUCCACCAUAUCUUUGAAAUGUGAAAAGGGGGUUGCUAUGUGCUGAUUCCCCCGAGGGGUUGCUAAGUGCUGAUUCCCCGGUUCAUUGGUGGUGCUAAGUGCGAUAUCCACCAUAUCUUUGAAAUGUGAAAGGGGGUUGCUAUGUGCUGAUUCCCCCGAGGGGUUGCUAAGUGCUGAUUCCCCGAUUCAGCGGUGGUGCUAAGUGCGAGAUCCACCAAUAACGGUUAACAUUCCAAGCGUUCAACGAAAAAGUGUGGAAGAUGAAUAUUUCCAUAUGGUGGAAAAUUUUAUGGGGUAAAUAUUGAGUUGAAUACUAAAUCGACCCAUGUAUGAGAUGGGAGAAAAUAUCAAAAACGCAAAAGGAACGAUUUAAUUAUAAACUGUGUUGAACAACAGCAGUUGGGUAACUUUGAAAAGUCACCAUAAAUGGUGGAAAAUGAAUGGGAAGCUGAAUAAUAUAUGAAAUUGAAGCUGAAUGUGUCUAUUUUCAUAUGAAAGAAAUAGAAUAAGCAAAAGAGUUUUAUUUUUGGAGAUAUCUGAAUUUUACUGAAACAGGGCUGGAUUGAUUUCGAGAUCCCCUGUUCUAACUUUGAAAAAUUACCAAAAAUUGAAAAAAAAUAAUUAUGGCAUGAAAUUUAUAUCCCUGGAAUCCUUAUUGAGUCUAUUUUUAUUAGAAACAAGAAAACCCAUUUUUCAAAUUUUUUACAGAGAGUUAAGUAAAUUUUAGUGAGGAAGGGUCAGAACCGUUGGGCAGUGAAACAGGGGAAGGUUUAAUGAAUAAACUGUACUAAUUGGCUGGGUUAAAAAUUCUGAAAUUUUUAUGGUGAAAUGGUAUAUGAGUCUAGUUUCAGGGAAAAUUUACGGAACUCAAUUUGAAGCUCUGUAGCUCCAGAUAAAAAUAAAUUAGCGACUAUGACGCAGAAAAACAGCUUGCUGGAAAUUGCCUAAACAAUAAAGUUAUUCAUGAAUAAGUUUAUAUUUUGGUGUAGUUAUGGGAGUAAUUACUUAUUUAUCAUGUGUUUACUUACUAAGCUAUAUGCUUACUCGAUUUUAUUUUUCUCUUGGUUAUAGUGACUUCCAACAACUCGGAAAUUGGAACGAAGUCAGACAAUCAUCUACACUAUCCUUCACAUUUGGGGUAUUUUACUACUAGUGUUCCGAAAUUUUAUGGCAUGUAUAGACACUUUAUGUAAUGUGGGAUCAUCAUGUAAAUAUAUGUUAUGGUUCCCUUUUAAAUGUAGUGUUUAUUAAUAGUUAAACUAUAUGUGUGUUUAUACAAAUGAAAUUGGUUGGUAUAUUGGAAUGUGUUCUAAAUUUGCAGGAGGUUUAAGCAAAAAUAAGUAGGAAUGCUGUCGAAAAUUUUUAAAAAUUUAGUAAUACCUCAUACUCUGUUCCGGUAAGGAAUACGGGUAAGGGGUGUUACACUAUCAAACGGCUGUGACUUUCAAUUGGCCUUGUCUCGCUUAACUCGUCGAGUAGUGAUUAUCCCGGAAGGAAGAUCUGUUCGAAAGGUCUCGCCAAAAAUCCGUAUAAUGAUUAGCUCCUAGCCCCCGCUUCUUGAAUUGGUGACCCAUUCCGCAAUAAGACCAGAAACGUUGCCCUUAGAAUUUCCAAAAGGAAAGUUCUGUCCCUUCCAGGAAUCGAAAGGGCCAACAAGUGUCUACUCACGACGGAAUUUUUGUUGAUCCUUCCGAAACUGAAAGACUUGAUAGGAAACUGCGGGUAUUUUACCCUAUUUAAACUAAUUCAUUUUAUAAAAUAGCUUAGUUAAAAAGAAAUAUGUGUUAUUAUAACUAUUUCAUAUUUUUUCCUGCAAGGAGACAUAUGCCUUAUUAUCCCUAUACCCUAUAUUCUACCUGAGAACUAGGGCUAUGUCUUCAAUGUCGGCCUUACAAGUGAUAGAAAGACUUUACGAAGGCUAAUUUCCAGUAUUAAUGGUCAAUUAGUUGACUUCCGACUGCACUCUACACUCUAACUUUCUUUAAUUCCGUUAGAUUGCUUUAGAUGCUUCCUACUUUCAGUAAAGUAAGGACUAUGCUUCUAAGCGGCAUUAACAUCAAAGAGAGGAUUUGGUGGAAGUAGGGAUUUAAGCACAGUUGUGAUUCUGCUUUCAUGUCUUGGAUUGAGGUUUCUCACUCUUUCUAUGCCUCUUCCUUGGAGGACCUUCCCACAACACACACGCGGCGCUAAGGUUCCCGUGGCAACUCAAGCUAAGAUUCAAAGCCAGGAAAAGGUUUUCGAAGAAUUUGACACAGGUUCAGCAAGGACGGGCUUUUCAUCCCAAAGAAGAAGAGCUGAAGUCGAAACCUAAGUCGAAGUUCAAGCUAAAGAAGGUGCCUAAGUUGAAGCUUAAGUCGAUGCCAAAGCCGGUCUGGAAUAGGGAACACCAAUUGAAAGAGCUGCCUUCCCUUACUAAUGUGGGAUCAGUUCCUCUCGAACACCUCCUAGGAGCGUCGCAUUCGAUGCAUCUAGGGUUUUAUUUUAGAGAGGCGCCUUGCGUGUGUGCUAUCUAAACUGAGGUUUUUCCUACCUAGCUCAAUAAUGGAGAGAAUGCCCUUACGGGGUUAUUUCCGUUUAGUCUAAUCCUAUUCUCAUGUGCAAAGGCUUAUCGAUCCCUUUUGAGUCAAAUGUGGCAUUGCACUGACCUGUGCAUAUUCACUCAACCCAAGGCAGGAGAUGACUUUGAUUACCCGUUCCGCACCUGGAUGACUGAAUUUCAUGCUUCAAAGUAGAGUUGAAACCCUAGCACCGAACCCUAGAAGUGAACUAGUAGAAUUAAAAAUAGGCUAAUGAAUCCGCUGCACACUUUCUAUAUCUGUACCUCAUGCCCCCAAUCAUUCGACUGAUAGUAAUAAUGUUAUUAUUAUGCAUAACUAAUAUAGACCUUAUGAAAUAUAUUGACAAAUUUAUGUUAUUAUUAUACAUAAAUAGUGAAGGUAGUCGAUGAGAGGAAUAGGUGGUUUCCAAAGGAGAGAGUUAUUUUAUAUAUGACGCUCUAUCUGUAUUGGAUGGAUGCCGUAGCUGUGGGAUAGAAGGCUUUUCUUUCAAGUCUUCUUUUCUUUGAUCGCCUAAGUCACUACUAACCAUAUCAGCGGAUAUCCUUCAUAGCUCCUUCCUUGCCCCUUUCUACAAACCUUUCUAUAAUAUAAGGGAAGCUCGAAGAGCUUUCUUCGCAUGCUUGAGCCCAUUAAUAAAAUAUUAAUAUCAUAUCGAUCAAGGCUUUCCUUUAGUUUAAUUGCAGCUAGUAAAGUGCCAAACCUUCUACUCAGAAAGUGAGGGACAAGUCACAUCGUUACAGUUUAUAAUUCACUUUCCCUGGAAAAAGGCAUUAGCCCCGCCCAGAAUGAAGCAGCGAACUUGCUUAUCUCAUGUCAGCCCGGGCAGAAAAACAACUUGCUUGACACUAAUACACAAGAGUCGAGGCAGAUGGUAAUUGAAAAAGUGUUUAUAUUGGUGGAUUGUAUAGCAUUACAGACUUGGUUACGCUGUUAGGGUUAGAGAGCAAUGCCACACUUAGGGAUACCUUACAUUUUAAUGGGAUAGUAGUUCCAGCAGGUAAAAAACCAGGAUAAAUUUAAACUUUGCAAGGAACAUUUCAAUAGUUACAACUGAAAGAGAAUCUGAAGCAGGAUCGGAAACAGAAUAAGAUUGAAGAGCGGGGUAAAACCAUUCUCAGAAGGAGCAGGUUUAGCGGAUGGGAAUGGCAUUUUUGAGAAUGCAGUCAAGGCUGAAGGAGCGAAAGAAGCUAACUCGAAUGAAGAAUCUUUCCGAGGAGUGACCCAAAGUAGAAGUUAGAGAAGGAAUUGAUCCUUUCCUGAAGGAUAUAGGACUUAGGACACAAACUAAAUGAUCGUAGUUCACCACACAGGCAUGUUAGUACUAAACUGCAGAAAACUAUUAAGUCAUCCAAUUCAUGCCGCAUUGCGAGAUUACUCUACCACUCUAGAAUUUUUUCUAUUAAGAGAAAAAAAGGAGUGAAAGGCAGGCGAAGGUUGAGUGUUUGGAUCUGAGAAGGAAUCAAUCUGUGUCAGUUAUCUCUUUUUCGCCUGUUCUGGCUAACCCCAUUCCAGUCUAUUAGGCAAGGUCUGUUCAAUUGAGCUUCUAUUAGUCAUUUUAGACAGCUCGGCAAGCAGCUGAACUCUUUUCCUCUUUCUUUUGCUUUGGAUAGAUCUCAAGGGCAAAGUACUCAUUUCGGGCAUGACUCGGAAUAUGAAUAGGGGGCAGGCACUUCAGUCCAGUGCUAUGGGUUCCUCAUUUCCCUAUGGUUGAGCGGUUUGGUUGGCCUGUGAUGAAGAAGAACUUAGAUGAUGACAAUGGAGCUAAAAGAUUUUCGUCUCCAACUCUAAUAAAAAAGACAUUCUCCACGAUAUACUUACCCUUACCUUAAUGUCAAGGCUGACUGAAUUUCAUGCUUUUAAGGCAACCUCGAUUGGAAUUAGGCUUGAACCAGAGGAUCACUGAAACUACCUUUCUAUAUUUACCCAAUUCGAUCCACAAGCUGAAUGCCGUACCUUCCAGAGAGGAGGAUCUGCCAUUGAACUGUUCAAAACCUUUAUUGAAGAAAGAGACUAAGAAAGAGUACAGGACCAAGACCGGAAAGUCACGCUUUGAUCUCCUUUAGCAAGGAAAAAGCUUUCAAACGCGUAUUCGCUGUUGCGAGCCGACUAAACAAGUGGAUUUGAUUCCUUUGCCUUCUGCCUUCCUGCUGACCUAAUACCCAUCAACUAUUAUCCACUGCCGCUUCUUCUUCUCCUCCGAUCAAGACCGAAAGAAGGUUCUUGUAUAGAAGGGUCUGGGCCCUAGUCGCUAGCUCUAUCCCACCCGGCUUGGUCCAUUUGAUCAGUGAGUCUCGCUCUUCGAUCAAAGGAAAUUUUGUCUUGCAUGAAAGAAGGAUCGGGUUAGUGAUCCAAGAUCAUGUCAAGGCUCUUGAGCGUCGCCGGCUUCCACUUUGCUUUGUGAUUAUUGGGGUGCUAUAGUGUCUUUGCCUCCUCUACUGAGAGAAAGUUGUGGGUAGGACCCCUGUUUACGAUGGCCGAGUCUUCUUCCCAUUGAUUCCCACUUUAACGUGGAUGAGCCCCUUUCUCACCGACUUGGGUUUAGAUUUGUUUGGCCAUGGCAUUGAUCAACUGUCUAGAUCUCCCAAUGUGACUCCCUUCCACCGGGCCACUUUGCGGCCUUCGGGGCCUUAACAUCACUCUGAAGUUCCCACCUUUUGUCUUAACCCUAUUAUAGAAGGCCCUAUGAAGUAAAGGGAAGUGCAUUAAUUCUUGGAAAAAGAGGGAGCGAACCUAUAUAAAAAAUGUAAUAAAGUCAAUUCAAUGAAUAGAUAGAGCCAACGGUACAACAAAAAGCGCUGCCUAAACGCGAUUUCGCUUCCAAUAGGGAUAGGCAAAUUAGACUGAUUUAGUGAAGUAUGCCAUGCCAUCAGUAGCAAAGUAGGCAGUUCUCGAAUCAUCUGUGGCACUUGCUCUUAGCCUUGAUCUUUUUCUUUUUUUUUAAUCUGCCUAUUGUUUCAUCAGAUGUGAUUGGAAUGCUUUCCUUGGUUUCAAAGGCUAAAAAAAGCGAGAUGCUUCCAAAAAAUACAGUUUAAUUUCAUUGUUUUCAUCAAGGUCCGUUGUUGUGACUGGAAGAAUUGAUUCAGAAUCGGAUGCCCUAUCUUCCUUCCCCUUCUUCUGAGUGAGGACAUAUCCUAAUGAAUUAGACGACCUCGGAAGGAACCAUUAGAGGAGAAGGGUGGUCGUAGAUCAGGUGAGGAAGGUUAUUGGCCCAAUAUGAAGGAAGACAUUAAAGAUUAUGUGAGUACCUGUUUUACCUGCCUGCAGGACAAGACUGAGAGAUCUCAUCCUGCAGGUCUACUCGAGCCUCUACCAAUCCUGGAGCGACCGUGGGAAAGUCUUUCUGCAGUUCAUAAAUAAUACCACAAUGAAAUAUGAUCGCUUUAAUAUAUUAUCUACUUAUUGCUCUAUUUCAAAAUAAUACCACGUGCAGUUCAAUAUUUAUGUGAGAACUUUUUUAUUUGUUUACAGAUUCUGCCCGUCGAAUAUUUACUCGCAAGAAGAAAGGUACGCAGUCACUCAUGCGAACUUCCAUGUUUACUAUUAAAAAUAAGAUUGAUCCUAAUCAAAUUAGAUCUUCCCUAAAGGAAGCUUGCAAGCAAGGCCUUUCUGUCACUUUUAAGAGUAGUGAGCGAGCUAAAGCCAAGUAGAAUAGUUGGCGUCAAAAGCGGCCUCGGAGCGCAGUCUUAAGGUUGUAGUUGUUGAACGCGCAACCAGAUAGGAUGAAGAUGGUGGGAUGAAACAGUCUUUAAAAAACCAUUGGUAAGGGAAGGCAAAGAAGUAACUGAGGGAAGGGACCUUUACCAUUUUGCUUCUUCCGCUUUUGGGGAUUCCACUAAUAGAACAGAACCCGAGGGGAAUGAAAGGAGUGACCUUCACUCGGAUUAGGGGUUAACCACCUCCUACGGUGGUUGCCAAAGCUCCGAGUCAACCCGAAAUAGGCCAUGGACUUUGAUCUACCAAAUGAUAAGAAUGCCUCUAAGAUUCAAUCAUAAACCACUUUGCCUCGGUUGUAUGUAAACCCCCCUUCACCCCCAUCCCCUAAAGUGGUAAAGAAGGGUUAGGGUCUAAUUUUCUUUCUAUCUGACAGGACAAAGAAAUAGGGAAGGGAUGGUUCUUUCUUUUAAACUAUUUAUGGGUCUACCUAGGAUACGAUACUGGUUGUCGGGUAAGGCUUUCGAACAGGCAACAGGCUUACAGCAGGAAUGAAUAAGUGAGACCAUACGCGAACGGCUGAGCUCAGUCUUCCCUGUAAGAAAAGUAGCGGUCGUGCUAGAGACGGUCUAUUGUGUUUUUCUUGACUCAUCAUUGAUAUUUUGGAAAAGCAAGAAAGAAGAAAGGGGAGCUUAAAGCGGACCAUUUACCCUGCCCUAAGUGCCUUUCUUUCUUCUGGUUCUGUCUGUAAACAGUGUCUUCAUGAACAGUAGAUUCAUCUUUUAGACUUGCUCCCGUAAGCGAUGCAAGAGUAAGCGCUGGUACAUUAACAGCUCUUGGUCUUAGCUCCCUAAAUGUUGUUGAGGAAGCAUCCAAUCCAUUUCCAAUUCACAUGUGUUAAGCAUAGUGACACCAAUCCCUUUGAAUGAAGGAGAUUUUUAUUGCUGCUAGCUAGGGAUUGGGGUAGGGGAUAAUAUAUAUAAAUGUAUAAAUCCCCAGAUCCAUCAUUCAUUCAUUCCCUCACUCACGUUUUCUCAAGGUAUCAGAGCGGAGUUUGGGGUAAAUCCCUUUCGAUUUCUGCUAAUUCUCUUCUUGUUGCACUAUGCCCAAGCUUGACGAUAGCAGUGGAGCGCUGUCUGCGGCGGUUGUUGCUAAGGAAACACUCAAGGAUCGAGUGACCCAACUUCAUGGCAAGGUCGACCAUUUGGGCGGACAAGUCUAGAUAGGAUUUCUACCCAGAUUCUUUUAGUUAUUAUUUUGUCCAUAAUCACAUCCGUUAUUAUAUAUUUCAUCCUAAGCAUUUCUAUUAUUUUAACUGUCUGGUCCGAUCGUUUAGCGGCUUUUUCUAAAAGACGGGAAUGUAAAUAGAAAACAUCGCCUGGGAAAGCCUCACGGCCUGGUGGUCGGCGUAACAAUAAUGACAUUUGUCGAUAUGCCACCGCCUGUUUACUAUUAUCAUCAUAGAUUAUUAAUGCGUGUAUUCUAUUAUCGCAGAAAUAUUCCCCCACGGCACACCCAGAAUAUGGGGCCAGAAAUUACAGAGGAGCAGGAUCCGAAGCGGUGGCUGCUACAAGAAUGGAAUAUUCCAAAGCAUUUGCUUCUGAAAGAAUUUGAACUAAUUGUGCCAUAGUUGAGCGUUUCUGUCCAAUCGCUACAUAGACACAAUAUAAUGUCUCACUCUCAGAGGUGGCCCUUGAGUUCAUUUGCUUUUGGUUUAAUAUGGUAUCAAUAGCAAUAGCUGUUUUUCCAGUUUGUCGGUCCCUGAUUAUAAGUUCUCAUUGACCACGGCCUAUAGGCACAUUCGAUUCUUCCCCUCAUUCCUUUUUUCUUGGGCUUGGCUACAUACCAAGCGUGGAUCCAUAAAAUUCCACAAUUUUUAGAAAGUCGCUACUGUUGGCCCCAUUUAGAAUGAGAUCACAACAGAUUUGAUAGAGCCCAUCAAUUUGCUCAAUCAAGGAUAUGAAUCCACUGAGGCAUCCCUAUCUCUUUCCUCAGAAACGGAAUCUAGGGCCAAGGGGAAUGUAUUAGAUUGAGUCUUUUCAGCUUCUAUCGACUGCCCUUCUCUAUGUUGACUGGGGAAGCCUCUCAAUGUGCAAUCUUACUUUGCUUAGCUAGCCCUAUCUUUAUUAUUUUGGCUAAUAAGCAUGAGGUUGGCCGCCUAAUAAUCCUAGAUCUUCCCAUUUUCAAGAAGAUCUCGGGCUCGAUCUGGAAGUAACGUCCAUUUUUUGGUAAUGGGUAUACUCGAAAAAAAGUUUUGAAUUCGACCUCCCCGGGGUCAUAGACUCCUUUUUUGUUUAGGAUCCCCUUUCUACAUUCAAUUAUUUAUUGAACCUGGUGUGGAAUCACUAUCAUUACACAUUUAUUGUUGCUUUCCUUGAUUCGGGCACAGUGUCUUCGACAAAUCGUUGUCUCAGUAUCUGUCUCAUCUCUGGUCCUGUGGGUUAGUAACCUUAGUCCAGUCAAAGGUAGGAGAUUAACAGCCGAUCCCCCAUCUAUCAUGAUUCUUGUUAUCCCCAAUCCAUUAAGGUAUCCUGAAAUGAACAAAGGCCUGUUAUGCUUAAUGAGUCCUGGUUGCAAGUAAUCGUCCGUAAACGUGAUCAAAGCCAAACACUCGACAUAAGUUGGUUCACUACUUCUCAUCUUAACUUGGUUAACUUCAUUAGAAACUCCUCUGGGUUCGUUAAUGCGUAUACUAGGGACAUCCUUAGUUCUGCAGACACCUUCAAUGCAUCGUAUAGGCGGAGGAGUGCAGGAAUCUUUUUGAGAUGAGCUAAUAUGUCAUAGCGAACAUGUUGUCCAUUGGCCGCUAAUGUUUGACCAGCAAGCAUUCGUGAUCUCCCACGUUGGGUAACUUCAAACCGCUAAUGUUGGAUUUGCAUAUCUUAGCACUCCACAAAAUAAUAUAUGUGGCACAAUAAGUAGAUAAUACUUGAUCGGUGUUAGCAAGAAGGAGGCUUGGUUGCAAGAGGGAGCUCUUUGACAUCGUUAGUGAAGCUAGUACCCUAAGUUAACAGCAUAAAAUCCUCCUCACGGAAUUUCGAUUGCCCUAAGGCAAGUAAGUGAAAUCCGCGUUGGGGAAGGGGAGGAAAGGCUACUAAGGCAAGUGGGGAAGAAAAUCAAUAUAAAAUAGAAAGAAUAGGUAUUGCCUUUCCUAUGAAGAUAUUUGGUUGAGGUUAGAAUUUGGUCAUUCUCUUGAAUUGACUUUGCGCUUUCACGGGCGGAUCUGUCAACCAUAUGUUAAUCGUGCGUGUUCUAAACUAGAAGCCGAAUGUCGACUGCUACCUACCGGUUUGGCGGAAGAAAUCGACAUGGGGUAGGAAGCCGGGUAGGAGCACCCAAUGACAUCCGUUACAUGACCACUUCAUUUAGUCGUAUCUGCCGGUAAAGAUGGAAUGUUUACAAAUAACAGAUGGUCAGACAGCGGUAACUGCACUGUGUGACCGAAGGUUACUGGCCCAAUAUGAAGGAAGAUGUUGAAGAUUAUGUGAGUACCUGUUUUACCUGCCUGUAGGACAAGACUGAGAGAUCUCAUCCUGCAGGUCUACUCGAGCCUCUACCAAUCCUUGAGCGACCGUGGGAAAGUCUUUCUUUCUUUGGAUUUCAUUGUGGGAUUGCCAAAAGUGGGGGAGUAUUGAAGCAUCUUGGUUGUUGUGGAUAGAUUCUCAAAAUAAAUAUGCUACAUUCAUUCCUGCUCUAGCCACUUGUUCAGCAGGCUCCGAAAAUGCUGUGAGAAAGAGGAUCUGUUUGUUUAGGAUAUAACUUUUGGUUCAUGAAGAAGCGACCCCUCCGCAUCAAGACAGUCAAUCACUACUCCUAGAACCGGGGGAAGACUAAAUGGGCGAAAAGAAGGCAUUCCGGGGGCGAGUGAAUCAGGCUCCGUGCCAGUCAAUCUAGUUGCUGGUUGAUCCCCCUCAGGGCGAGUUGCUAUCGCUGCUUCCUCUUUCGUUCAAGCGGCAUGAAGCUCAUCUUCAUUGACUGACUCGGAAAUGAGCCCGUCACUCGAGAAGACAGACUGACUGGCAUCGUACAAUAUAGAAGGCUAAUCCCGCUUUGUUAGCCGCUCCUUCAUCUGUUAUUAUUGUUAGUCAUCUCCUUCACUACCUCAGCUAUUUUAUUAUAAGAAAAGUCAGUCAGCUCUCUAUCAUUUAUAAAAAUAUCACUCUAGGAUGAACUAAUCAACAACCGAACGAGACUGAAUCCAAGCGAGUGAAUGAACGAGUCAAGGGUUUGUAAAGAGCAAAGGACUAUCAAAAACACUACCCGGAAUAGGAGUCUUGGCUUAUGAGUUUGAGUUUGAGCAGGAAGAGGCAUAAUAGCCAUCAACCGGAAGCAGUGCAAAAAUUGGAGGAGAGAUUGUCUCAGCAAGUGAUUGGGAUUGCCGACGAGAAAAGAGUUGCCUGACCGUGAGGAAGGCCCUGGACGAGUGAUUGGUCAAACAUUAGAAAAUGGAAUACUUCCCCAUAUUUUUUAUUAAACUUCUUCUUACCUUAUUUUUUACCACUAUUAGCACAGCUUCGAAAAUCGUUAUCUUUUAUUCGCCUAUACCUAUAUGUGAUAAAAAAAUAAAAAAAAAAUGGAAAACUCGAUCGAAGGGAAGGCAACAAUUCAGAGACGAAGAUAAGGCUUGCCAUUCAAGCCUUAGCCUUUUCAAAAGCAGGGGAUUCUACAGAAAGGGACAACAUUCAAAGAAAGAAUAUUUACUGUUGGAAAUCCAAUGCUUUCCCGAUUCCAUGCUUAUGAUUCAAUUCUUCUUGGAGAAACCAAGUCAUUAGACAAGACCUGCCUGCGGAUUCGAUUCCUCCCCCGGCUUCGGCUUAAUUCAAAUAGUUCACAUCACUUUGUGGUGUGGUAUGCGGCGGAGUUAGUGUACCCGGGAGUUAAGUUUUACCAAGUAUGCGAUUCUGGGUGACGACAUUGUCAUCACAGAUCGAUUGGUAGCGGUACAAUACCGAAAACUCAUUGAACAACUUGGUCUAUCUAUAUCUUUAAAUAAAACCUUAUUGUUUGAGUCAGGUACCUGUGAGUUCGCUAAGCCUUUUAUUCUUAGCUCGGGGGAGAAAGGCGGGAAUUCCCCCUAGUAAGAGUAGUAGUCUUGGGCAGAGAACAGCCCUUUGUUAUCUCGGCAUCUAUUACUAUUCUUUUUAAGUAAAGAAGGUAAAGGCGUUCUUUCGCUUUCCUGGCGUAUGUUGUCUUUUCGGAGCUAGCAGCGAUGAUAGUCAUUAUAUCAUCCCUUAUUCGUUAUCAAUUAUGGAAUUUGAAGAGGAAAAUCCUACUCACGACAGAGCGGAAGACUUGUAGCGAGUAAGGAGAGAGAGAGGAAGAGAGGGUAGGACGUAGUUCCUGGGAUUGCUUUUGUGUGGGAUGGUCAGAUUACUCUGCAACUCGAUUCUACCCCUGUCUUUGCUUUGGAAAGGUUCUUCAAUGUUAGAUUCCCUUUUUCUUUUUGGAAGAUAUGGUUGCUUCCAAGGCCACCUUCCGCUUGUUAAUAGUAGACUAAUGGGAGAGAGCCGUAGAUGAAAGCCUCUUCCUUAGCGGCGUCCUUCUGCUUCCGCUUCUUAUUCUUAAUCUGUAUAGCUGCUUUGGAGUGACAUUAGGCACGUAAGGAUAUGACUGCCAGUCCAGUUUUGGCCAUUUCUAUGUAUCCAGCCCUGAAGAAAGUCGAUAUGUGGAUGAUUUUCAAUCAAAGAGGGAAGAAAUUUAUCUUAGGCCACGGGAACGAGAUAGAAGAAGAGCUGCUUUAACGGCCCGCUAAGGAAGAAGAAAUUGGCUUUCUUCAUUUUAAGAUAAAGAUUGCAUUUCACUUUCACUUUCUAUAUCCAUUUUGAAUGGGUAAAAAAAAAAGCAAGAGCUUAUCAUCACCAGCAGAAAGAGACAGAGACCUUUUCUCUUUCGAAAAGGGACUGAGAUGCACCCUUCGUGCCUCAUACCCCUGAGGAAGGGAAGUUCGUUACUUGCUUGAAAGGAAGCAGUACUCUCGAGUGGGUACCUCUUGAAAAGGGCAGUCAAAAGGAUAGACUGAAUUCAAAUAAGCCUUCACUUUCAAUCCGUUGAAAUGUAUGGGUUAGGAUGACCAGCUUUCGUACAAGAGUUUACCUAGAAAAAACCUGACUGUGAGACCGACUCGGCAAAGAGAGAGGAAAGUCAACCAAGUGUUCAAUCUAUUAAAUAGACUAUUUUUCUUUCAUUAAAGUUUACAGAUAAGUAAGAUAUUGAAAGGGGCAGAACGCUUUCUAAGCUAGAUUUUCUCCUUACGUCCUUCGGGGUGUGGAGAGGAUAAAUCUCCACAUCUUUUGCGAUUGGAAAGUGUAUUGGAAUCAGAUUGAAAAUCUCAGUAGGGCGACUCCUAAUACGAUUCUACCGGGAUCAGGAGAAUCAAAUCACAUAAAAAGAAGAUGAAAUAGCUGCUUAUUCUCUUCUCUUGCAGGGGCUGUCGUUUCGGGAUUAAUAGAUACCUGCAAGACCCCUAUUCUCUAUUUUAUUAGUCUCUUUAUUUCCAACUCUUUUCCACAUCCUUAAUAAGGCACCGAGCUACGAGGCUCAAACAUUGAACACAACUAGACAGCACUAAUGCCGGUGGUGGUAGGAUAGAAAGUAGACCGAGACGACAGAGCGGAAGACUUGUAGCGAGUAAGGAGAGAGAGAGGAAGAGAGGGUAGGACGGAGCGCAGAUGUACAAUAAAAAUGGUCGUCCCGGUACAGGGGCCGCUAAUACCGGCGGCUGAGUCAGGUAUUCUUUUAUGCUUUUGAAUGCAUCUUGGCAUGCUUGGUCUCAGACAAACGCUCCACCCCUUUUUUCAUUAGACGAGAAAAGGGUUGGAACUUGCCUUAUAUAUUGGCGAUAAACCUGAUUAUAUAGGCCAACCGUCCUUGGAUGGAAGCCUCUCAAUUCCUUGAUAUUGGUAGGAGACGGCAUCCCCAGUAUGUAACAGCAACAACAACAAGACUUGUAAGCCUAUUAUGUAAAUUAUGUAUAUCAGUAAAGAUUUUGAGAAAGAAAGGGAAGCAGUUGGGUUGGGAGAACCAGGAUAUGUCGAUUUAGAAUAAGCCGAUGCAUAUGGUAACGAAAGGUGAAUGGAAUAAAAACCUCGAGUUACUGCAGGUACACCACUUUUUGCCUAGGAGUGAUUCCUUCUCGGGGGAACCCUCUUUCUAAGUCGAGUGACUGGAGACUACAUUCUCGCUGUAAAAACUACAUUCUUGCUUAUGGCAUCUUCCCUAUCCGUCGCCUUCACUUGAAGACGAAAGAUCAAAUUCGAUUCAAAGAUCGGAAUCAUACCUCCAGCAGGCAAGGUCGGCUCAAGAAGUGGAAGUUGUGAGAUGGAAAGAAGACCAAAAAAAAAACAGAAUCAGGGAUCAAUCCAUACGCGGCUUACCUUUGACUACGCAUUGUCAGUCCUUUGAGAGACAUAAAGACCUACCGACAAGGUCUCCUUUCCUUUGUCUACUACAUCUUCCCCUUUGGUCUAUCCGCUUUGUCUAGGAGAUGGCAUCGAAAAGGAGAAGGCAAAGGGACUAAGAAAGAGUGUCUCGAGAAGGGGCUUUGAGGGACGACUGAUUGACCUUCGACGCAGGAAGCAUCGAAUUGCAUUAGUGGGAUAGCUUACUUAAAUACUCCCCCAAGCCAAGAAAGCUAGUGCUCAUGAAUGCGCUCCUUACAUGCAUAUUCUAGUACCAGUCCUUACGCCGAGAGAAGACUUCCUCACCGGUGUCCUAUUUUCCGCCGGUUCAGUUUACUUUAGAAAGCUCAUUUCCCCGUUCAUCCAACCGGAAAGUAACAAAAAGCACUUUUUCUACUCCCAUAAAGACCGCGCCCUUCUUUAUCAUCAUCAACCGCCCUCCUCUGUGCUUGGCGACAUUACUCCAUAUCAGUGCCUGUUUGGAUCGCCACCAUAGAUGAAGGAAGGAUUGCAUCGCUUUGACCAGACAAAGCAACCUCGAAUCUCUCAAUCAAAAGCUGUAGAUAGACUGACUAGCCCCACUGGUAGUCCAAUUCCAUCCACUAUCUCCCUCUCUUGAUAAAGAAAAUUUGUAUUUGAGAAAAUUUGAAAAUUGUACAGCGUGGUGGCACCAUCUAUCCAUGAGGAGGAGGUGUAACAGUAGACUACCUCCGCAGUAUGGUCAGUCACUCAUGAAUUCCUUCUCACUCGAAUCACUACUAGAAUAUUUCAUAUAGAAAGAGAAACUUGAGGAAAUUGGAAAUGUUAGAAGGCCUUUUCUUUCCGCUUACUUUAGUAGUGCCUUGCAUCUAUGCUUGGGCAGCAAAAGAAGAGUUAGAGCGGGCGACAGGGGAUUCUCAAAUAGAAGAUGUGCGCCAUGCCAUUUAUUAUUUAAUACUGUAUUAUGCUAGCUCUACUCUUGCUCGUCAGUAGAAGAUAUCCACAGUAAGGGCUAUUCCAAUUUCAAGGAAGGCGGAAAAUCCUUCUCUAUUUUACGAUCUGAUUUCGUCUGUUUAAAAUCGUCUUAAAUCAGACUUUUCCCUCACAGCUCCUUCUGGGCAUCUACGUCUGUCCUCGGCACCUUAAUAGCUUAUUCAAACAAAAAACAAAAGGCAAUGUAAUUGAUUGAGGCAUACUUCUAUGAAAAGGAAUUGAUAGAGGAAAAUGAAUGUGCAAGACAGCUAAUCAACUACUACUUUGCACGGGAACUAAGAGGGCCCAUUUAAAAUGAAAGGAAUAAAAGGUAAUCGCACAAUAUCGGGUAAAUCUCGCAUCAUAACGGGUAUGAGCUCCUGAUUAUAUUGAAUCUUUCUAUCAAUUCUAAGAUAUAGAAACCUCGACCGAAAGCAGCUCUUCCACUCAUCUCAUUAGCAAUCAAACCUCUUCCCUGCAAGAAGGCAGAUGCCUUAUCAUCCCUAUACCCUAUAUUUUACUAUAUCUUAUAACCAUAUGUAUAUCAUAUGAAUAUUAACAUAUUCAAUAUACGCAAUUCUCAGAUCUGUCUUUUCCGGCCGAUUCCAUGCCACUCUAUUUUGGACCCUCUUGCAAGAGCUCGAACUAAGUCUAGUUUAGGUUCAUCCGAGGGUUUGGACGUCACUUCUUCACUUUUCUACUUUUUUUUGGAUGGGUGCUCUCCCUUGAGUGAAGGCAUAAGCCGUAGACAGUCACUAGUUUGAUCGCUAUGCCAUUCUCGGCAACGAUGUUAAAGUGAGGGUAGUCAUGAGGCUAAUUGGUAGUUAUGCUUACAAAAGAUCAAGAAAAAAGCAUUGAAACUUCCACGAUUAAGCCAUAGGGGACUACUUUCAAUACAGAAUUUCCGAAAGAAUCUCAAUUGGAAAACUGUUAUCAAAGCGGGGAUUUUUCCUUGUAAAGGGUCCUCACGUAAGACUUUCAUCUUCAACUUCAUGAUCGGGUGUACUAUAUGGACUAGACGGCCUAUGGGAUAUACUUUCAAGCCGAGGCAUUCCGAACUCAUGGGGCAACUUUUACAUCGAUCGUGAAAGAAGAAGGCUCGAAAAAAGAAAAGAGACUUCAACCCUUAGCUUCUGCUAUGAUGUAACGUGCAGUCGUCCCGAGGCAACAGGAUGUAUGGUGUAGGGCCCCCUAUUUUCUCUCCCUUAAAGUCCUUUAUAGAUUUCGAGUCGGGAAUAGAGCAGUGGCUUAUUCGGUGCUAUAUCACAUCACAAUUCAUUCAUUCUCGGGCAUAGCAGUUCACGAAACGUGGCAUGGGACAUCUGUCGGCGGCGGGAGUCAACCAUCCAAGCGAGAGGUCAGACCAAUAAUCCCAUUCACCCUGGUCCAAUCCGAACGGAUCUUGUUGAAUGAAUUGAUCCAUUGUUGUAUGCCUUACUUCUUAGUGCAUUUUU
Molecule: long non-coding RNA, 50035 nt
Filed under: Gossypium barbadense (sea-island cotton)
Lineage: Eukaryota; Viridiplantae; Streptophyta; Magnoliopsida; Malvales; Malvaceae
Source: RNAcentral